UUUGACAUGUCUUAGGGCAUUGGAUUUGAGCAGGAAUCAGUUGAUUGAGGAACUUCCUAAGGAGGUAGGAAAAUUGAUACAUUUAAGAUACCUUAAUCUAUCAAGGUGUUCUCGUUUGAGAAAGUUGCCUGAAACAAUUUGUGAUUUAUAUAAUUUGCAAACCUUAAAUAUUCAACAAUGUUUCUGUCUUCAGAAACUACCACAGGCAAUGGGUAAACUAAUUAAUUUGAGGCAUCUUGAAAAUUAUGGUGCUGACAGUCUAAAGGGCUUGCCAAAAGGAAUUGGAAGAUUAAGCUCUCUUCAGACACUGGAUGUUUUCAUGUUGAGUAGUCAUGGCCAUGAUGAAUGCCAAAUAGGAGACCUGAGAAACUUGAACAACCUAAGAGGACAUCUUUUCAUUCAAGGGUUGGAUGAAGUGAAAGAUGCAGGGGAGGCAGAAAAAGCAGAAUUGAAGAAUAAGGUACACCUCCAAUAUUUGACAUUGGAAGUUGGUGAAAAGGAGGGGACAAAGGGUGUGGCUGAAGCUCUACAACCCCAUCCAAACUUGAAAUCUCUAUGUAUAUUCCAUUAUGGUGAUAGAGAAUGGCCCAAUUGGAUGAUGGGUUCAUCAUUAGCUCAACUGAAAACACUUUACCUCGCGUUUUGCGAUCGAUGUCCAUGUUUGCCUCCUUUGGGGCAACUGCCUGUCCUUGAGAAGCUGGAUAUAUGGCAUAUGCGUGGUGUGAAAUACAUAGGUAGUGAGUUUUUGGGAUCAUCAUCAACAGUAUUCCCAAAGCUGAAGGAAUUGUCUAUUUCUGGUUUGGAUGAAUUGAAGCAAUGGGAAAUAAAAGGAAAAGAAUAGAGGUCAAUAAUGCCAUGUCUCAAUGACUUGACUAUGCUAGCCUGCCCAAAGCUGGAGGGACUGCCGGACCAAGUGCUCCAGAGGACACCAUUGCAGAAAUUGGACAUCACAGGUUCUCCUAUUCUGAAACGACGCUAUCGAAAGGAUAUGGGAGAGGAUCGGCACAAAAUAUCUCAUAUCCCAAAAGUAGUUGAAUAUUCACGGGACUGAAUGGUCAUCACGCUUCACCUCAUGUCACUCUUGUUACAGGUAAUUUGAAUUUAUCUUAGUUUUCAUUUCCAUUGCAUCCAUAAUUGCACACAUUAAUGUAUUUCAUGAAUAAUCUUUUUCUGAAGCUUUCCAUUUUGCAUAACAUUAUUAUGUUAUGCAAAUGUGGGUCAUGAAUAAUCUUCAACUUUGGGAAUGCAAUUGUUGUUGUUGUUGUUCCCAAAAAUUCAUGACCCACAUACUUGAAGGAAACCAUUCUCCAAAUGUCAAGCCCCUCCAGAUGAGGUAGUUUUCCCAAGGAAGGCAAAUGGGUGUACUUUAUACUACCUUCCAGCUUAAGCGUUGUCAAUUGGGAUAGUGAUGUGGUCAACCAAUUGGGGAAUUUGAUGUCAUUGUAAUGGUAUAUGCCUAAAGAUUUCAGGUCUUGAUGGGGUUGUAGGGCUUCAGCCACGAUCUUCAUCCCCUCUGCUGCUUCUUCCUUAUCUGUAUAGAAAUUCAAAUAUGGAGGUGCUUCUUUUUCUUUAAUUCUGCUUUCUCUGCUGCCCUAGCGUCCCUCACAUUACCCAAUCCACUUAUUGCAAGAUGCCCACAAAGAUUGUUCAAGUUUGGCAGGUCUCCCACUUUGAGUGAAUUAUCAUCAUCGUCAUCACCCACAACAGCAAUCUCUGCCAAUGUUCGAAGUGAACUUAAUCUGCCAAUUCCUUUGGGCAACACCCUUAUAAGAGUGCUGUCUGUUUCAAGAUGUCUCAAGUUUAUCAGUUUUCCCAGCCCUUGAGGCAGAUUCUCAAGACGCCAACACUUACUAAGUGUCAAGGUUUGCAAAUUACAUAAAUUGCACAUAGCUUUUGGCAAUUCUUUCAACCAAGCAUUAUCCGACAAGUUAAGAUACCUGAGAUGUAUCAGCUGUGCUAUCUCCCUGGGAAGUUCUUCAAUUGAGUUGUUGGCCAAUUCUAAUGUUCUAAGAGAUUGCAAACAUUGGAAUAUAUUAGGUAGCCCUUUACGAAUGUGUAAGUUGCCUCGAGAAAUAACUAAGAUAGUCUGUAGAUUCUCUAUAUUGAAAACAGAGACAAGAAAGGGGCUGUUAUAUGAAAAUACUAUACUUGAAUGACGACCCAUUUUAUAGAAUGAUUCUAACCUCAGAUCUUUUCCAUUAUCAACCUCCAUGAUAAAACAUUCAUUUUUUGUCAAAAAUUGGGCGAAGUCAUGCACUAUAUCAUGCAUCUUACACUCUAUUAUAUUUCCAUCAUUGUCUUUUACAAAAUCUUGGAAAAGAAAGCGCAUUGCUAAGCUUUCAAAGUACUCACGACCUAUGGUCUCCAUCUCUUUACUUUUAGAGCUGAGGUAACUCUGGGCCAUCCACAACUUGAUCAAAUUAUCCCGCUUUAUGACAUGAUUUUUUGGAAACACUGCACAAUACGAGAAACAACAUUUCAUUGCAGAAGACAAAUCAUAGUAACUCAGUAAUAAAGCAGGGGAAAGAUCUCUUUCGAACACUUCCAGUUGCCAUACAUCAUUAUUCAAAACAUUUACCCAGUCUUCUUUCCUCUCUUUUAAAUGCAGGAGACUCCCCAAAGUUUUUGCAGCAAGAGGCAAGCCCUUGCACUUGUCUGCUAUUUUUUGGCCAAUUUCUUCUAAUUCUUCAAUACCUUUCUUAGUUCUACCAAAAAAAAUGAUCUUACUGAACAGUGACAGCAUUGCUUCUUAGACAAUUCUUCGAGUGGGUGUGUGUAGGUAGUUCCUAUCAUUCUAGUCACUCCCAUUUUAUGGGUGGUCACCAAAAUUCUGCUCUCUAGUGCUCAACACUUGAGACAAUUCCCCAGCUCCCAAAUUUGGUAGUUUUCAUUCCACACAUCAUCCAAUACAAGGAGGAACUUCUUUCUUGCAAUAGAGUUUUGAAUUUCUUGUUGUACAAUUUCAAGUUCAUGGAGAUGACUAGAAGUUUUUCUUUCAAGUGCUUCAAGUAUUGCCCUUGAAAUCCUCAUUGCGUCAAAAGGGUCUGACACACAUACCCAAAUCCUUUUUUCAAAAUGGGAACACACCUUAACAUCAUUGUAGGCUAGUUGGGCAAGCGUUGUCUUUCCAAUACCUCCCAAACCUACGAUUGAGAUCAUAUGGAGAUCCAAUGUUUUUUACUACUGCCACACAACAAUUUGCUUAUUAUGAUAUCCUUAUCCUCGCCUCGACCUUGUACCUCUGGUACAUCAAUAAAAGAGGUAGUUUUUGGUCUCUCAGGCUCUUCCAUGCCUGAAAUAAAAUUAAAAUUAUACCUUUCUCCUGGGCAAUCACAUCUAGUCUUCUAUUGAUUUCUCCUAUCUUAAGAGCGAUGUCAUGACAUAGGUGGAUACGACGAAUAGGAAAACAAGGGAAAGGGAUACAGCUGCACACCUUCUUCUUAUGAGUGAGAGCAUUGUCAACUCCCUGAAUUUGGACUUUGAGAAUUGAUGAGCUCCAUUCAUCCAGCACGUUGUCCAUGUCAUAUGCCAAUCCUUUGAGAUCUUAGCCAAAUUUUUACAGCUUCAUCCUUAACUUGUCUCUUCUCUGCAUCCACAAGAACUGCUCGGAUGUUCCUAAGUGUGUUGGUGAGCUUUUGGACGUCAUUUUCAGCACCCACAAGCAAUCUCAACUCUUGUUGAAUCUGCCGUUGGAUUACUAAAGCCAACCACUCCAAGACAAUGGAAACAAGGGCAUCAGCCAUGUUGUGUGAUGAAUUGGGCAGAAUUGAGAAAUGAAUGAUGGACAUAAAAGUUGCAGCUCAUGUCCUCAUUUGUAGCUGCAAUCAUGUAGUUGAGUUCAUAGAAAAAUGGCCCAACCACCAAGUUGACUUCAAGAGGACGAGUCUUUUUCCUUUUUCUCAAAGUGUUUAUAAUAUGAGCAUUAGUUUAUUUCAUUUAUUUCUCAAUUUCAAUUUCAAUUUUUCUAAAUUUUAUUCUUAGAAGAUUCAUAUGGUUAUCGUGUUUGCUGAUAAUUGUUUUGUUUUAUUUUUUAAUUUUAGUUUCAUUUUUGUCUUUCUUCUUGGUGUGUGGCAAUGACAAUCUUGAAGAUAAUAUUUCCCUGGGUCAUGUUUGUAGCUCCUUUCUUUUGCUUCUAGUUUUUUUUCCAUUUUCUCUUUCUCAACUCAGGAACCAAACAUGACUUAAAUAUUCACCUUCAGAUUUGUUUUUACCCUCAUUGAUUGGGGAGGUUGGAGUCCUCAUUGUUUGUUUUAGUUCAGGUCUGUUAUGCAUCAUCCGAUUCCAUUAGAUGGUUGACAAUCAUUUAUUUGUUCAUAUAAUAUUAAUAACAUUGCUAAUACCAUUCAUAUUAAUAUUAAUAUUUGAUUGGCAGGAAAAUGGAUGACAACUACCCAACAAACAGGGUUUGCUUUCUUUGCCAACUCAGACCAGAUCAUCCUUAGCAGGUGAGUACAAAUAAAUACAUAAGCAAAAUAAUAAGUGGGUAACAUCUAUUCCCCUUAAUACUCUUUGUUGUUUUUUUUCAAAAGUAAUAUAUACCAAUUUAUUACCCUUAACAUCUAUUCCCCUAUUUGUUUAGUUGUAUACCAAUUUAUUACUUGUAACAAAAUUACUUUUUCAAAUGCUAAUUCAUUAAUUCACUUUCCUUAUUUAAAUAAUUUUAGGCAUAAAGAUGGCCAAACUAUCAUUUUUAUUUUUUUGAAGUUAAAUUGGGUUAAAAUAAUUAUUUAAUUAAUAUUGAAAGAAAAUUUUGUAACCCUAGCAUAUGAAAUUACUUGGAAGAUGAUGAAUAAAUAUUCCCUGAAUUAAUUUCAAAUUAAAUUCUUUGUUAAUAACUUUUAGUAUGUCCUUUAGAUUAAUUAUUUAUUAAGAGCAAACAAUCUCAUGUACGUGUUCAAAAAAAUAAAAUUGAUUAUAUUAAUAAAUAUAAAAUAUAACAUGAAAGAAUCAUCUAACAAUAUACUAAAAGGAAAAUCAUGCAACCAUACAUCACCAAAAAAUAAAUAUGCUUUUUGGAACUUUGUUUUUACCUUUUUAAUUGUAAUGUGUAGAAAAUUGUAAGUGGUCUCCUAACUAUUGAAUAAUUCAUUAAUUACGAGAAAUGGUACAAUAAUCCACUAACUAUGAGAAAAGUACACUGUUUUACCAUUAUGAUCAAUUAGGAGAGUUUCAAACCUUUUAAACAUUCCAAAAUGAUUUUUUACUUAAAAAAAAAAAAAAAAAAACUUUGAACAAUCAUUUUAAAUGAUGCCCCUGAUCUUUUGAACGGUCUCUCCCAUUUGACAUGUUUUGCCAAACUAUUUUCAAAUGCCUUUUUAGUACUUUUUCAUGUAAUUGUGAUUCUGAAAGUUUUAUCAACUUUAAAUGCAUACUUACCUUGAAUUUGACAACUCUGAAUCAACUCGAAGCUAAAUUUGAUGAAGUUCAAAGUUGUCUUGAGACAAAUAAGAUGAAAAGAAGUAAUAGGAAUCUAAAUAGUAAGAAAUGGAGCAAAAUUAUCGAUUAAAAAAAAUUCAUUAAUAAUCCCCCUUCAACAAUUGUAUGAUAAAAUACAAACAUUACAAUGAGGCUCCCAUGACUCUCAAAUGCACUGCCAACCUACAUGUUUAAGGUAAAGAAAAAUGGAGCAGUUUGAAGGUGCAGUCUUCGCUGCAGCACCCAAAAAGGAGCUUGCCAUAUUUGGAGAAGAUGCAAUGAGUACAAUAAUAUUUUCCCUUUUUUAUUUGGAUGCUGAUUUCAUGGCCUUAAAUUUGAAUAGCUAGUUGGAAAGUUAAGUUCUGUACCUCGAGUUCAAUGGGGCUUGAAUGGGGUAAAAAUAAAAAAGAAAAUGCUGCCAUGAAUGUAGAACAUAUGGUCAAAAUAUAGAAACUUGGAGGAAUUCAGUAUAAGGAAUGUGAAAAUUGAAUGAACCAUAGCUGAUUGUCGGUUUUUGUAGGACACAAAUAUACCAAGAAGAGGAAAUUGCAUCAUUAGGAUUCUUUAGCCCAUCCAUUCCAUUUGGCAUCUAGCAAAGACUACACUCCUGCUCCUACAUCGUCCACACUCCCCCUGCUAUUCUUGAGAAUGAAGUUUGAUUCUAAUUAGUAAUCAUGGAUUGAAAAAUCGGAAAAUGUCGCCGAUAUUUCGGAGAAAUAUCGGUUAUCGGGCGGCAUCGAAACGAUAAUCGGCACCGAUUAUCGAUCGACGGAAAAAUCGGCCAAAAAUCGGCAAAAUCGCCGAUAUAUCGGCGAAAUAUCGGUGGAGAACCGAAAAAUCGGCGAAACAUCGGCGAGUGGAGGCACGCGCGGAGAAGAAGGAGGUGGAUGGAAAAAAAUCGGCAAUUAAUCGGCAAAAUCGGCGAUAUAUCGGCGAUUUUUUGAAAAAAUCGGCGAUUUUUUGCUGAUAAAAUCGCGAUAAAUCGGCGAUUUUUUCAAAAAAAUCGGCGAUUUUUUCCAACCAGAUUUCACCCGUGUAAUUUAAUUUUUUAUAAAAAAAUUACUAAGCAUGAAAGGAAGGAUUCCAUGUUGGGCCUGUCUUAUGACAUAGCCCACAUAUCCACUCCAAUUACUGUGGGCUUUUUUUUCAGCCCACAAGACCAUGCCAAGACUUUGCUGAGGAUGACUUUUAUAGGAGUCAUUUGACUCCUUGUUCCUCUCAUUUUCCGAUGUGGGAUUGCUUAAAUAUCAAUGAAAAAAAACAUAACAAAACUCCACCAAAAGGAUUUGAACCUUGGACCAAUCUUUUACUAUAGUCCACCUAGGACACCACUUGGCUAUAUGUGUUUUGUUAUCUAAUAUGCCAAACAAAACAAUAUAUAUUAGAUUUUAAAUUAUAAUAUUAAAUAAAAAUAAUAUAAUAUUUUUAAAAAUUAUGAAAUUAGUUUAAAUUUUCAUUUUUUUAUAUAUUCACAUUUCAAUAUUAUACAUAUUUCAUUUAAUAAAAUUUAAAAUAUUAAUAUGAUUUAAUUUGAUAAUAUCAAAGAUAUAAAAUAAUAUUAUUGAUGUUUAAUUUAUUCAUAUAUAUUUUAAAAUUUUUAUAAUUAUUUUUAAUUUUAAUAAUAUAUUUAUGACGUCACCUGUUCGAUCAUCGGUCCGAUUCUGAAAACAUUGAUUACACUUAUAAAAUAACUUUAACAUGUAUAUUCUUGCUUAUUUUUAUCAUUCUUUGGAUUUUUCUAAGCAUUCCCAUCAAUUUUGGAUAAUUUUUGUCUCAUCGAUAUUUGAUGAAAAAUAUCCACCGAUAUUUCCGAUAUAUCCGUAAAAUCCAAGUACCGAUAUAUCCGUAUUUACCGAUAUUUCAAUCCUUGUUAGUAAUCGAAAUACAACAAAAUGGAUUUUCCAUUCUCAUUCCAUUCCAUGCUCCCACCUUCCAAAUACAACAAAUUUGUUCUUCCUUGUGGGACCUUGAAUUAUAUUGUCUUGUGAUAAACGGGCAAGUAAAAUAAAAAGCUUCGCUCAGCACUAGUUCAUGGAUAUUAAAUCACAAAUGAAGAUUAAAAUGCAAUGGCAUCAAAAGUGAAACUUGAGUUGGGAGUUUCAUACCUUUUGUUUUAGCUGACAAGAUGUUUAGUUUUAACAUCAAAUGGAAAUUGACGAAUCAAGCACUCUGCAGGAUUAGGAGCAACGAAUUCAUCUGUCUAAUUUAUUUCUUACAUGAGCUCUGAAUAACUCCAAUAUUUUAUUUUGUUUACAAAGAAAAAACAGUACAACAUCCAAGAUGCCCUAAGUAGCAUUCUGAAUGCUUGAGGAUUCAGUAACCUAUCCGGAAUAUGAGCAGAAAAUACAGUAAAUCUAUUUUCUCUCUCAGGUAACAUAUUUCUCAAAAUUAUAAUGCUUCAUUUGCAACCAGAAUAAUAAAACAAAAAAACAGCUAACAGAUGUCAAAAGUAAUUGUUGACAAACGCAAGACCUACACCAGCUGGAAAUUACUAGUUUAUAGUAGGUGUGUAACUUGUAAUUGGAUAAUUAGAGAGUAAGGUAAUAAAUUUUGGUUGUGCCAAACUGUAUAAAAGGCACAAGCCUAAUGUGUAUUUUUAAAAAUUUUACGUAUCUUCAUCUCUAAGAAAUACAGGAAGCAUUUGUACAGGAAAUGGAGAGAGCAUCAAAACCAAGCAGAGAUAUAUCUUUACGAGGAUGCACACAUGUUGUUCCAUUGAAUACAAUUUUUUAUUAACUCAUCAUUUUGAGGUAGCAUGAUUGAUUAUUUUGAGGCAUUUGGGUGUGUUCCCUACCUGUGAAAACUAAUUCAUAUUUGUGUCUAUCUUAAGGUUAGAUGAGUGAUACUGCACAGUUAUAUUAACCAGAUCAUUCUAUUUUCUUUGUUUCUUGUUGGGGCAAUAGCAAAUCAUUAGCUUCAUUAGUAAUUAGAAAGUGAAGUGUUCAAACUCCCAAGAAGGACAGUACCCAACUUUGAGGUAAGAUCUCCACCAGAAUUAAACACAAUACCAAAUGGCAUGAUUUUUAAUCAUCUCCUUCUACAUAUAGAACAGCGGAGCCAUGUCACUCCCCUCACCCUCCAUUUGCAUGCAUAUGUCCUAACAAACAUGUUUUUUUUUUUUUUAGGUAUCCUAACAAACAUGUAUUAACUUUCAUAUAUAUUAUCCACAUGAUCUAUGUACACAUAAAAACAUAGAUCAUUAACAAUCAUUUGGUACAGAUCCUUUUUGAGAGUGGAUGUCAGGGUCAGGGGGAAAUGGAAGAUUCAUGUUUCUAUAAAAGAGUGGCUAUUUUACGAGGAGUUCGUCUUUUCAACCCUCUCGAGUUUGUGUGGGGAUAAAGCCCCUGGGCUUUGGCAAUAUUGUUGGGACUUAGUGAAAAAGUGAGGUGAUGGGCUUUUCUGCAGAGUUCUAUAAGAUAGGCACUUUUGAAAGAAACUUAAAUGCCACUUUUAUGGCGUUAAUCCCAAAAAAAGGGAGGUGCAAAGAUUUAAAAGAUUUCAACAUCAGUUAAUUCAUCUCAACCUGCAUCCAAUCCAGAAUAUGAUCAGUGGGUGAUUUUAGAUCAAUUCUUGUUGAGUUGGAUUCUUGCUUCCAUAUCUGAAGCCAUGUAUGGUCAUGUGGUUAAUUGUCAAACAUCAGCCGAAGUAUGGAGUGUUCUUGAAAAACUUUUUGUCUCGGAUUCAAAGGCAAGAACUCUUCAACUACGUUUCAUGCUACAAUCAUUAAAGAAAGGUGCUCUAAGCAUAAAUGAUUAUGUGCUAAAAAUGAGAAACAUAGCAGAUAUGCUCUCUGCCUCUGGAAAACCUGUACCAGAUGAAGAUUUAAUUCUUUACAUUUUAGGUGGAUUAAGACUAGAAUUUGAAACAAUUGUUGUGAAUAUUACAUCUAGAUCUGAGGCAAUCUCUCUACAAGAAGUCCAUUAUCUGCUACAAAGUCAUGAAAUUCGUCUUGAGCAACUUUCAGCGGCCUCUGUUAUUGACGUUCCACUAGCAGCACAUAUUACAGUUGGAGGUGUUCAAAAUUCUAACACUAAUGAUGGACAGUUCAGAGGCAAGGCAAAACAGCUUCCAUUCCCUACCACUAUUAAUAAAACACAAGUUCCAUUUGAACUAGUUUUUUCAGAUGUGUGGGGCCCUGCACAUAUAACUUCAUGUAAUGGGUACAAAUAUUACAUUGCAUUUUUAGAUGCUUUUACAAACUAUACUUGGAUUUAUCCCAUGCAACAAAAGUCCCAAGCAACAUCAAUUGGCUUGUAGUUCAUAGCAUUGGUAGAUCGACAAUUUCCCACUAAACUUAAGUGUCUACAAAUAGACUGGGGUGGAGAGUUUCGUCCCCUUCAAUCUCUUCUGUAGAAGAAAGGCAUCAUCUUUCGUCAUCCUUGUCCUCAUGUUCAUCAAUAGAAUGGGAAGGUGGAACGAAAGCAUAGAAGCAUUGUAGAAAUUGGAUUAACUCUGUUGGCUAAGUCUCAAUUGCCAUUUACUUUCUGGUGGCAUGCCUUCUCUAUAGCAACUUACCUUCUCAAUAGACUACCAACUCCGGUUCUCCAUUGUAAUUUAUCUGGAUUUUUUUCUCUUGACAUGUGAAUUACUAUUUUUAAAUUACUAAUUUGACAGACUGUGUUUUGCUUAACUGUUGCACUAAGGUGGGGCAUGUUGUCGGUAGAGCCGCGUCAAAAAUUUAAUAUAGAAGGAAAUUUAAUGUAGGAAAUUUCUUGGCAACUUCCUGCCUCUAAGCGUCAAAAAUUUAACAUAGAAGGAAAUUUCUUGGCAACUUCCUGCCUCUUAAGUCUAUAAUGGUGGGGCCAGUUUGAGACCCUUAGCGAAGGAAAAGUCUUGGCAACUUCGUGCCUCUAAGUCUAUAGAGGUUUUGUUGCCUUCUAAGGGUGAAGAAUUAUUUAGAUGACCAUUCAGAGCUAAUGAAAGCUUUUUCAAUAUAUCUAACUAUAUAUAUAUAUUAAAUAGGUUUGAGAAUUCUAAUUUUAUUUCUUAAAAAUAAAAAUAUAUUUUGUAAUUAUAUAAUAAGAAGAAAAAAAAGUAUUUUUACAAUAUUCUUUAUAAUUAUUUGCUAAUUUUGAAUAAUUUUUUAAUGUUUAGACAAGAUAGGAUUAUUGUUAGUUUUGUGAUGAGGUAUGAAAUAAUAGUUUUGAAUGAGUAUUAAUUUUCAAAAUCAUUUUAAAAAUCUUAAUUAUGAAAACAAAAAAAUAAAAAAAAAUAAAACUGGAACCAAACAUGGUUAAGUAACAAAAAUAGGUUGGCCCACAACUCCUUUUCCUUCAUUUCCAUUAGUCUUUAUUUCACUAGAAUUCUUAGUCUUUACGCGUUUUCUUACAAUGUGAUAUUUGUCAUAAAAUUCCAAGCUUUUACGGGGAAGAAGACAUCAAUCUGACGGUGAAACCGAAGAGAUCGACUAAAGCUCCAAUGAGAAUAACAAAUGGAAAAAAUAAGGUGGGCCUCAUUUCCUCCGCACAUAGUUGAUAAGCCAAGGCUAAAUAGUUGAUAUAGAUGAAGUCAACUAUUGGUGUUGUAUGGCUGCGCCUCUUUACCAGUGAAAUUAGAUUACUAGCUCUCUCACUUGCCUUCAUUCAUCACCCCCUUAUGGCUGACGCUCUCCUUUCUAUCGUCUUGGAGCGCUUGGCUUCCGUUGUUGAGCAACAGAUUCGUGAUGAACUUACUCUGGUUCUGGGUGUUGAAGCAGAAAUCCAAAGCCUCACAGAUACACUCCGAUCCGUCCGAGAUGUUCUUGAGGAUGCAGAGCGCAGACAAGUGAAGGAAAAAUCCGUCCAAGGUUGGUUGGAGAGGCUGAAAGACAUGGCUUACCAAAUGGACGACGUGGUGGAUGAGUGGAGCACUGCUAUUCUCCAAUUACAGAUCAAGGGAGCUGAAAGUGCUUCCAUGUCUAAGAAGAAGGUAAGCUCCUGCAUUCCCUCCCCUUGCUUUUGUCUCAAGCAAGUUGCUUCUCGUCGUGAUAUUGCUCUUAAGAUUAAGGGCAUUAAACAACAACUAGAUGUCAUUGCUAGUCAAAGAAGCCAGUUCAAUUUUAUCUCCAGUUUGAGUGAGGAACCACAGCGAUUUAUAACUACCUCUCAACUUGAUAUUCCGGAGGUAUAUGGUCGGGAUAUGGAUAAAAACACCAUAUUAGGCCAUCUGUUGGGUGAGACUUGUCAAGAGACCGAAUCUGGGCCCCACAUCAUCUCCAUAGUUGGGACUGGAGGCAUGGGCAAAACAACGCUUGCUCAACUAGCCUACAACCACCCGGAGGUGAAGGCCCAUUUUGAUGAAAGAAUUUGGGUCUGUGUCUCCGAUCCCUUUGACCCAAUCAGAAUUUUUAGGGAGAUUGUUGAAAUCCUCCAAAGAGAAUCUCCUAAUCUCCAUAGUUUGGAAGCUUUACAACAAAAAAUUCAAACAUGUAUUGCUGGAAAGAAGUUCCUUCUUGUGUUAGAUGACGUGUGGACCGAAAACCAUCAAUUGUGGGAACAACUGAAUAGCACUCUCUCCUGCGGAGGUGUAGGGAGUAGAAUUCUAGUGACCACACGUAAAGAGAGUGUUGUUGAGAUGAUGAGAACUACAUACAUGCACUCUUUAGGGAAAUUGUCUGAGGACAAAUCUCGGGCAUUAUUCUAUCAAAUAGCUUUUUAUGGAAAGAAUAGGGAGAAAAUGGAAGACUUCCAAGAAAUUGGUGAGAAAAUAGCAGACAAAUGCAAGGGCUUGCCACUCGCUAUAAAAACUUUAGGGAAUCUCAUGCGUUCAAAACAUAAUAGGGAAGAAUGGGAGAAUGUUUUGUGUAGUGAAGUAUGGAAGCUGGAUGUGUUUGGAAGAGAUAUUUCCCCUGCUUUGUUGUUGAGUUAUUAUGAUCUGCCCCCUACAAUUAAACGCUGCUUCUCAUUUUGUGCUGUUUUUCCAAAAGACUCGGUUAUUGAGAGAGAUGAGCUGAUCAAGUUGUGGAUGGCACAAAGCUAUCUCAAAUCUGAUGGGAGUAAAGAGAUGGAGAUGGUUGGUAGAGAGUACUUCGAAUAUUUAGCUGCUCGGUCUUUCUUCCAAGAUUUUGAAAAAGAUGGUGAUGAUGAUAUAAUAAGAUGUAAGAUGCAUGAUAUAGUGCAUGAUUUUGCUCAAUUUUUGACUCAGAAUGAAUGCUUUGUUGUGGAGGUUGACAACCAAAAAAAGGGGAGUAUGGACUUAUUCUUCCAAAAGAUUUGUCAUGCCACCUUAGUUGUCCAAGAGAGUACCCUUAAUUUCGCCUCCACUUGUAACAUGAAGAAUCUUCACACCCUCUUGGCUAAGAGUGCAUUCGAUUCAAGAGUUCUUGAAGCCUUAGGGCAUUUGACAUGUCUUAGGGCAUUGGAUUUGAGCUGGAAUCAGUUGAUUGAGGAACUUCCUAAGGAGGUAGGAAAAUUGAUACAUUUAAGAUACCUUGAUCUAUCAAGGUGUCAAAGUUUGAGAGAGUUGCCUGAAACAAUUUGUGAUUUAUAUAAUUUGCAAACCUUAAAUAUUCAAUAUUGUAUCAGUCUUCAGAAACUACCACAGGCAAUGGGUAAACUAAUUAAUUUGAGGCAUCUUGAAAAUUAUACUCGGAGUCUAAAGGGCUUGCCAAAAGGAAUUGGAAGAUUAAGCUCUCUUCAGACACUAGAUGUUUUCAUCGUGAGUAGUCAUGGCAAUGAUGAAUGCCAAAUAGGAGACCUGAGAAACUUGAACAACCUAAGAGGAGGUCUUUCCAUUCAAGGGUUGGAUGAAGUGAAAGAUGCAGGGGAGGCAGAAAAAGCAGAAUUGAAGAAUAGGGUAUCCCUCCAUCGUUUGGCAUUGGUAUUUGGUGGAGAGGAGGGGACAAAGGGUGUGGCUGAAGCUCUACAACCCCAUCCAAACUUGAAAUCUCUAUGUAUAUAUGGUUAUGGUGAUAGAGAGUGGCCCAAUUGGAUGAUGGGUUCAUCAUUAGCUCAACUGAAAAUACUUGAGAUCGGGAAUUGCAGAAGAUGUCCAUGUUUGCCUCCUUUGGGGCAACUGCCUGUCCUUGAGAAGCUGGUGAUAUGGAAGAUGUAUGGUGUGAUAUACAUAGGUAGUGAGUUUUUGGGAUCAUCAUCAACAGUAUUCCCAAAGCUGAAGGAAUUGCGUAUUUUUGGUUUGGAUGAAUUGAAGCAAUGGGAAAUAAAAGAAAAAGAAGAGAGGUCAAUAAUGCCAUGUCUCAAUCACUUACGUACAGAAUUCUGCCCAAAGCUGGAGGGACUGCCGGACCACGUGCUCCAGAGGACACCAUUGCAGAAAUUGUACAUCGAAGGUUCUCCUAUUCUGAAACGACGCUAUGGAAAGGAUAUUGGAGAGGAUCGGCACAAAAUAUCUCAUAUCCCAGAAGUAGUCGAAUAUUAACGGGACUGAAUGGUCAUCACGCUUCACCUCAUGUCGCUCUUGUUACAAGUAAUUUGAAUUUAUCUUAGUUUUCAUUUCCAUUGCAUCCAUAAUCGCACACAUUAAUGUAUUUCAUGAAUAAUCUUUUUCUGAAGCUUUCCAUUUUGCAUAACAUUAUUAUGUUGUAUCCAUAGGUCCAUUUUGGCACAUCUACACUGUUACUAAAGUGUUUAUCCUAUAAUAUCUACACCUUGCAAAAUAAGAGAAAUAAAAAUGAAAACCUUUUGUACAAAAAAACUUGAAACCUUUUCUAUUCUAAAAGUGUUUUGUUACAUGAUCAAAUACCUCCAACAACCGUGUAGAAGAGAUUUUAUGUGAUCUUUAGACUCUAUAUGUACUAUAUAAUGUUAUAUAUUAUCAAAUUCCAUUUUAGGGUACACUUUUCUUGGGCAUGGGCCUAGUGUUCCCUCUUUUCUGGUGGAGCUGGGGGUUUUCGGCUUAGAGUAGACUUUUGUUGGGCCAUGGGCCUAGUGUUUCCCCUUUUCUGGUGGUAUGGGCGCAAUGAUUGAUCAGGUUUCAGGCCCAUGGGUAUAUAUAUAAAUUGUAAAAAUAAUAUUUCAAAUACAUUAAUGAAUGAGAAAUGAAACAAAUGAAAAACAUGAUCUAAAUGUGUGGACCCCGCAUUUCGGCUCAUGCGUUUCCCACUCGAAGGCGAGCUCGAUUUUAUUUGAAAAAUUGAUUUUAUUGAUUAAGAAAAAUGACUUGGAGUCGCCACUCAUUUUUGUUUUAUUUUUAAAGGGUAAACAAAAUAAGAAAGAAAAAACCCUAAGUGUGACUCCUUAUUUUGGAAAAGUUGGUCUGUGAAAAACCGGAUCGGGUUCGGGGGUCAGGUUACUUGUCGGGAAGGUGCGGUAAAGACCGUAGCACCCCUCUAAGCCCCUAAAAUAGGUCUCUACUAAUAAAAUGAAGCAGACAUGACAAUCGAUUAGGAAAAACAGUGAAUACCCGGAACUAUCAUGCACAUAUGAGAAUCAGAAUAUGAAUAGCGAAUGAUCAGAAUGAGUGAAUACGUACCUGGGCAGCAAACAGCAAUGCGCUAUCAUGGAAUGGGGUUAGUGAAUAAACACAGAAUGAUUAUAUACAUAUCAUGGAAUAUAGCAAAACGAUCAUGCGUGGUAAAUAAAUCAAUCAAGCGAUCAAUCAGAAAAUCAUGUACGUGGGGCCCCCACCAAAGCCCGAUUUAUAUUGCAUGAAUUAAUCCCAUAAAUCCCAUUAUUCGGAAUUACGAAAGAAUUGUUCAUGCUUAUUAUUAAAAACAAGAGGAGCAGAAGAUUGUUUGAAGACCAUAAUGGAAUUAAGCUAUUUGAGAGAAAAACGGAUUUUUGAAAUUCAUUUGAAAAAUUGGAGUCUUAUUUGAAAAUCGGAUUUUUAGAAAUUAAAUAUAGGAAUGAGAAUUUUAGAAAUUAAAUUUGAAAGGAAUUGGAAUUUCAUAGAACUAAAUUUGGGAAUCGGAAUUUUGAAAAAUUAUUUUAAAACGGGAUUUUAAUAAAUAAGUAAGUGAAUAAAUAAAUGAAUGGAAUAAUAAUAAUAAUGAUUAGAUAAAUAAUUGUGAAAAUUGGGAAGUGAACUUGGGAAUUGGAAAAUUGAAGAAUUAUUUAGGGAUGGAAAGUCGGAAAAUUAAAUUUCGAAAACUAGAAACCCGAAAAAUUAUUUUAAGGAUGGAACAUCGAAAAAUUAAAUUAAUGGAAUAAUGAUGCUAAUUGACGGAAACAAUAUUUAAACGAACAAAAUGAAUAGUAAAAUUUUUGGGAUUGAAAAUUAAAUUAGGACACUAGAUUUUUGAAAUUUUGGAUUUUAAUGAUCAAAAUAAUAAAAUAAUAAAUAAAUAUGGGGUAAUAAUACUAAUUAACGAAAAUAGUAUUUAAACGAGUAAAAAUGAAUAGUGGAAUUUUUGGGAUUAAAAGUUAAAUUAGGACGUCAGAUUUUCGAAUGAUUUGAAUUUUUAAAUGAAAUAAUUAAAUAAAUAUUGAAUAAUAAUAAUAAUAAUAAUAAUAAUAAUAAUAACAAUGAAAACAAUAAUUAAAUAGAUGAACGUAAAUAGUGAAAUUUUUGAAUUUGGAAAUUAAAUUUGGAAAUUGGAAAAUUGGAAUUUCAGAAAUUGGGAAUUUAAUUUGGAAAUCGAAAUUUUUAAAGGAUUAUUUAAAGAUGAAAAUUUGUAAGAUAAAAUUAUUUGGGUGCUAGAUUUCCAUAAAUCAACUUUUAAAAUUUGAGGGCUUUGGAAAUGGGCCAAGGGUGAUAACCAAGCAAAUGGGAGCAUUUAGGAAUGGGCCAAGGUGGAGAGAAAAUUUAAAAUGAUGCUCAUGGGCCUGGGCUUCAAAAUGCACUUUGAGAUGACCUUAAAAUGGAGAAAGGCCUUCAAAAUGCACUCACGGGCCUUGGGCUUCUCCAAUCCAUUGUGCAAGAAAAUAAGUUUAGUGGGCUUUGGAAGUGGGCCAAGAAAGGUGGCCAUGCAAAGGUGGGUUGAUGGGUAUUUGGAAAAUGGGUAUGUGGUGUAGAGAGAUAACCGGGUAGGGGGUAGAAAGUGAGUGAGUUAGUGAGAAAAUGAGGGUUUGGUAGUGGUGGUGGUGUAGAGAGAGAAAACAGUGCAUGAAGGGUAUGUGGUGUAGAGAGAGAAAGGUGGUAAGAAGAAGAAAAAUGGGUAAGUAGAGGAUAGUUAUGCAUGGGAGGGUGGUGAUAUAUAUGAGGGCAUGGAGGAUACGGGUAUGGAGGUUAGCAUGGGUAUGUGUUGAUGAAUGGCAACCAUGGGGGGUGGCCAUGCAUGCACGAUUCCCAUGCAUGUAGGUGGGUGGCUUUGGGAUUCCUAUGGAGAUGAGCAUAACAUGGGUAUGGUGGGCAGCCGGGUAUGAAAAUGGAUGGUUUGCAUGGGUAUGAAGGGUGAUGGCUAUGGGUGCAUGCAUGGGAUGAGUGAUAUGGAACGAGCUAGUGAGAGAAAGGGUGAUGGGAAGGAAAAUGGGUAGGAAACAAUGGGUUUGAUGGCUAUGGGUGCAUGCAUGGGAUGAGUGAUAUGGAACGAGCUAGUGAGAGAAAGGGUGAUGGGAAGGAAAAUGGGUAUGAAACAAUGGGUUUGAUGGCUAUGGGUGCAUGCAUGGGAUGAGUGAUAUGGAACGAGCUAGUGAGAGAAGGGUGGUGAGAAGGAAAUGGUCAGUGGGAAAUGGGUAUGCAUGAAAUGGUUGUGAGAGGUGGUGCAUGAGGCAUGAGGGAUAUAAAACGAGAAGCGGUGGAACAUAUAACAUGAGUAAUAGGAAUAUAGACAUGAAGGUGAUGGGAAAAUGGUGAGAUGUUUUCAUGGGAAUAUGGUGAAUAGGAAUUAUGAAAUGGGUAUGAAUGAUGGGUUCUUGAGAAGAUGGAAGAUGAAAUGUUCCAUAUGGCCAUGCAUGCAUGCAUCACGUGCAAGCAGGGAAUGCCCACAACAAACUGAGCAUAAAAAAAACACAAAUGCCAUCAGCACAUAAUACCCUUGGGAUCUUCAUUUGGACUCUGUUAUUCCCAGCAUAACAAUCAAGAGGAGCGACAUCAUGUCCCGUUAAAAAAAAGGUCUCCUUCGCGUCUUCCUUGGUUGGGUCAAUAGAAAAAUCACCAUUGGGUGUCUCGUCUUCCAAAAACAAUCUCAAAUGGUGCCAAAAGAUCAUUCAUUGCAGGGACAUUUGCACCUCCAGUAACAGAGGAAACGGCAAGAACAGAGUACCAAAAAUGGGAAUAAUAAAAUAAAUAAAUAAAUAAAACGUGCAAAGCUCGUUUCAUGCUUCAUUCAACAAGCUUGCUAACGGAUUGAAAGACCAUAGGUUCAUACGAAUAUAUGGGAAUGAAGGCUGAGAUAUUUCAUAGUGAAGCUAAAAACAGAGUCGGCUUACUCUUCAACAAAACCAAGAGGGAAAGAUGAUAAAAUAAUGAUCAUAAAUCCAUGGUUAUUCUAGAGAUCAAGGAAAGCUAACAAUAUGACCUGAUAUACAUACCUGAAACAAACAAUAAUAUCUGGAGACAAAGUAGAGAAAAUAACAAACAGGGACAAUGGUGAAUAUGGGGUUCGUACCUGGAAAGCCCUUUCUAAAAAAAAACCUUCCCAGCCCGCUUCUUUCUCAGUUUGUGUCUUCCUCAGCCAGCCCUCUCGCCUAAGAUCCUUCUUCUUUUCUUCCUCUGUUUUCCUCUUCCUCCGCAAGCUACUAGUGGCCUGGACUCCUUAAACCACAAGAACCGAGCUUCGACUCUCUCAAUGAAUUUUUCUCCCUCCCUGUAACAGCUGGCCUCUCCCGAAAGUUCAAACCUCUGGCUUCCCCAGCAAGCCACUACCUGCUUCCCGUCUCUGCCGAUGUCCUCUUCCUUCCUUUUUCUCCUUUUCAGUCUUCCUCAGCAAGCCAGCCGUUGCUUCCUGCCAUCCGCCGCACUCCUCUGCCCGAGCCAACCUCCCAUCAGCUGCCUGAAAAAAAGGAAAAAAGAAAAAAACAAAGAAACUCCCCCCUGCUUCGCAGCCUCAGGGGGGGUCUACAAAAUGUUAACUAAUUAAUAUUUUAAUAGCCUAACCUAUUAGAUUAUUUGCACAAAAUAUUGCAAAGAAAAUUUCAAAACUUAUCAAUAAAAACCAUCUUGAUUCUUGUCUCAAAAUUAUAUCCAAAGGCAUCAUUUAUUAUUAUUAUUUGUCAUUUUUACUUGCAAGCUUUGAUAUUUUUUUUUGUCUUUGACUUAUUUUAUUUGCUUUCUUAUCUUUUUUCCAUCUUAAUUUUAUUGGUUAUGGGAUGUGAAGGAGAUUAACACUAUUGUUUUUCGUUUCAGAGAAGCAAGUUCAAAUAAAAAGGAGAAAAUUCCCAACACCUAUGUAUUGUGAAGUUGUCUAUGAAUCAAUUUCAAAUUGGUGAUUUGUAAAUUCUUUUUCUCUUUUUCUUUUCCCCUUUUAUUGGUUUGCCUAUAUAUGUAAGAAUGUGUAAACUUCAAUGUUAUUAUUUGGAUUUAUUUCCUACAACAUAAAUGGUUUGCGAAUGAUGGGAACUUGCAUGCAUGCAUGCAUGAUGUUUCUUCUGAUUUGUUGUAAGGACAUAUCUAUUGUUAACCUAAUGGAUGAAGUGGGAUGUUCUUGAAAUUUCAAUGCAAAGGUUUCAAAUGCUUGGUUGUGAUUCGAACAAAAUAUUCUCUUAGAGAGGGCUCUGUCUAAUAAAUGUGAGGCAUUAUCAACUAACUUAAGGUCCAUUUGACAAUGUUUUAUGAAACUUAUUUUUUAAAACUGUUUUUUAUUCUUUAACUUAAAAACAAUUUUUAAAAACAAGUUUUGGAAGUACAUGAUCAAAUGGAUCCAUGUUUUCCUUUCGUUUUUAAAAACUGGUGAAAACAACUCUUAUUUGUUCUCUAAAAAUUAUUAUCUAUUUCACUUUGUUUUUAAAAAUUGUUUUAAGAGAAUAACGAUAAAACAGUGUUAGAAUAUUUUAAAAAUAGUUUUUUAUUUUUUAAAAACAAAAAAUUGUUUUUAAAUCAAACGACCAAAUAGGUUCUUAGUGUUUGUUUGGAUACACUUUUUAAUUUUAUAAAAUGCUUUUUGUUUUUUAUUUAUAAAAUUAGAAAAUAGUAGUUUCUUUACAUAAGAUAUAAGAACUCUGAUAAUUUAAAAAUAAUUUAAUAAAUUGAAAUGUUAAAGAAAAUUUACUAUCUCAAAAUUUAAAAUUUUUUAAAAUGAAUUUAAAAAAUAUAAAGUAAAUUUAUACAUAAGGAUGUUUUUGGUAAAAAUGCAAAGAUGCAUUAAACCUUAUGAAAUUUUAUUUUUUUUAUGGAGUUAAUUAAUUAAUUAGAACCUAAUACAACUAAAUAAUCAAUUAAGACUCAAGUGAACUAGUUUAGGUGACCCAAGUACAAUUUAGGAUUAAGUCACUUAAACCUAACAAAAAACCCUAUAAAUGCACCUUAAGGGAUAGGGUUUUGACCUUCUUUCUAUCAUCUUCCAAAGAGCCUUCAAAGAGAAAAACCCUACUUGUCUUCGAAAGAGAAAAGUUCACCAUUUUCUCAUGCUUAUACCCUUGAAAGAGAGCGAAUGGAAGAAUACCGGGUAAACAACUUCUACAAUGGUCUUUGAUAUCUUCAUCGGAUUAGAAACGAUUCAAAAACAUUCAAAUUGAAUGUAUGAUUACUAUAUUCUCUAUAUCUAAUUAUUAUAAUGGUUUUUUGAUGUUACAUAUUCUAUUACAUUAGAUUUAGAGAAGCCUAGAUAGAUAACAUAUACCCUAUAUGAUCUAGGGCUAGGGAACGGAGUGAUAUGAAGUUCUUCGCAAUUACAAAUUCUACAAAAUCCUAUUAAAAUCAUUGAUGAAAUAGAAUAUGAAGGCCAAAAUUAAUUAAGAUGAUUAAAGUGACACCACAAAUUGCAAUAUAAUCCUAUUGAAAUGAUGGGUGAAAUAGAAGCCAAAAUUAAUUGAGAAGAUUAAGACCUUGUUUAAUAACUGUUUUAGAUAACAUUUUUCUGUUUUAAAAAUACUCUAUGUUCAAAACAAGCCAUCCAAACAGCCCUUGGAGAAACAAAAUAACACACGUUGGAAAUUAGCUGCCAAACAGAGUUUAGGGAGAAAUUCCUGAAUCACCUCUCUUCGCAAUUCUCAUAAACUAGAGACAAUAAGGAUGAGAGCCAAGCUCCCAUUUUUAUUGUUUAUGGAGGGCUCUGUAAAGUUCAGGCUUCUCCAUUGAAGAGUAAGAGACGUUGAGGAAGACAACGGUUGGCGACGAACGACGGCAAGUUGGGCGAUGCCGAAUUAUCCAUGGCGGUGAAGGGUGGCGUCUCCAAUGAUUAGUGGCGAGAACAGCUUCCGGGAUGGCGGUGAUGAGGCAGUAACCAGCCAUAGCGGUGGGUUUGGUUGUGGCAGGAGAUUUCUUUACCCAAAGGUCAGUGUUGAUCUCUUCAAAAUCAUAGCAAGAAAACCCUAAAAGAAGAUCAAAGCCGGAGCCAGUGUUGGAUUACUGCAUAGCAUAGAGACAAAAUUAAGAAAAUAGAGAAAGGGGUCUUCAAUGAUUAAGAGAUGGAUUAACCAAGCAAGCAUUGUCAAUUUCAACUAUUUUUAGGGGAAAUCGAAGAAUAUAUGAUGCCAAAUAAUUAACAGAAAAUAAAUAAAUUAGUAAUUACCGAAAUGUGUGGACUAUUCAGAGGUCUUUUUUUAGGGCAGGACAGACGUAGAUGCACAAAGUCUGCAGCUGCGUCAUCCGGAGCAAGCUAUCCGGCAGGGCCUCUAGCUUGGGGCAUUUCUCCAGUGUCAAUGAACGGAAACAUGGCAUUAUUGCAACAUGGUAUCCUUCUUUUACUUUCCACUUUUUCCAUGCCUCCAUAAAAGCAAACCUCAGUUUCUUCAAGUUUGGGAAUGCAAUUGUUGUUGUUGUUGUUCCCAAAAAUUCAUGACCCACAUACUUGAAGGAAACCAUUCUCCAAAUGUCAAGCCCCUCCAGCUGAGGUAGUUUUCCCAAGGAAGGCAAAUGGGUGUACUUUAUACUACCUUCCAGCUUAAGUGUUGUCAAUUGGGAUAGUGAUGUGGUCAACCAAUUGGGGAAUUUGAUGUCAUUGUAAUGGUAUAUGCCUAAAGAUUUCAGGUCUUGAUGGGGUUGUAGGGCUUCAGCCACGAUCUUCAUCCCCUCUGCUGCUUCUUCCUUAUCUGUAUAGAAAUUCAAAUAUGGAGGUGCUUCUUUUUCUUUAAUUCUGCUUUCUCUGCUGCCCUAGUGUCCCUCACAUUACCCAAUCCACUUAUUGCAAGAUGCCCACAAAGAUUGUUCAAGUUUGGCAGGUCUCCCACUUUGAGUGAACUAUCAUCAUCGUCAUCACCCACAACAGCAAUCUCUGCCAAUGUUCGAAGUGAACUUAAUCUGCCAAUUCCUUUGGGCAACACCCUUAUAAGAGUGCUGUCUGUUUCAAGAUGUCUCAAGUUUAUCAGUUUUCCCAGCCCUUGAGGAAGACGCCAACACUUACUAAGUGUCAAGGUUUGCAAAUUACAUAAAUUGCACAUAGCUUUUGGCAAUUCUUUCAACCAAGCAUUAUCCGAUAAGUUAAGAUACCUGAGAUGUAUCAGCUGUGCUAUCUCCCUGGGAAGUUCUUCAAUUGAGUUGUUGGCCAAUUCUAAAGUUCUAAGAGAUUGCAAACAUUGGAAUAUAUUAGGUAGCCCUUUACGAAUGUGUAAGUUGCCUCGAGAAAUAACUAAGAUAGUCUGUAGAUUCUCUAUAUUGAAAAUAGAGACAGGAAAGGGGCUGUUAUAUGAAAAUACUAUACUUGAAUGACGACCCAUUUUAUAGAAUGAUUCUAACCUCAGAUCUUUUCCAUUAUCAACCUCCAUGAUAAAACAUUCAUUUUUUGUCAAAAAUUGGGCGAAGUCAUGCACUAUAUCAUGCAUCUUACACUCUAUUAUAUUUCCAUCAUUGUCUUUUACAAAAUCUUGGAAAAGAAAGCGCAUUGCUAAGCUUUCAAAGUACUCACGACCUAUGGUCUCCAUCUCUUUACUUUUAGAGCUGAGGUAACUCUGGGCCAUCCACAACUUGAUCAAAUUAUCCCACUUUAUGACAUGAUCUUUUGGAAACAGUGCACAAUAUGAGAAACAACAUUUCAUUGCAGAAGACAAAUCAUAGUAACUCAGUAAUAAAGCAGGGGAAAGAUCUCUUUCGAACACUUCCAGUUGCCAUACAUCAUUAUUCAAAACAUACCCAGUCUUCUUUCCUCUCUUUUAAAUGCAGGAGACUCCCCAAAGUUUUUGCAGCAAGAGGCAAGCCCUUGCACUUGUCUGCUAUUUUUUGGCCAAUUUCUUCUAAUUCUUCAAUACCUUUCUUAGUUCUACCAAAAAAAAUGAUCUUACUGAACAGUGACAGCAUUGCUUCUUAGACAAUUCUUCGAGUGGGUGUGUGUAGGUAGUUCCUAUCAUUCUAGUCACUCCCAUUUUAUGGGUGGUCACCAAAAUUCUGCUCUCUAGUGCUCAACACUUGAGAUAAUUCCCCAGCUCCCAAAUCUGGUAGUUUUCAUUCCACACAUCAUCCAAUACAAGGAGGAACUUCUUUCUUGCAAUAGAGUUUUGAAUUUCUUGUUGUACAAUUUCAAGUUCAUGGAGAUGACUAGAAGUUUUUCUUUCAAGUGCUUCAAGUAUUGCCCUUGAAAUCCUCAUUGCGUCAAAAGGGUCUGACACACAUACCCAAAUCCUUUUUUCAAAAUGGGAACACACCUUAACAUCAUUGUAGGCUAGUUGGGCAAGCGUUGUCUUUCCAAUACCUCCCAAACCUACGAUUGAGAUCAUAUGGAGAUCAAAUGUUUUUUACUACUGCCACACAACAAUUUGCUUAUUAUGAUAUCCUUAUCCUCGCCUCAACCUUGUACCUCUGGUACAUCAAUAAAAGAGGUAGUUUUUGGUCUCUCAGGCUCUUCCAUGCCUGAAAUAAAAUUAAAAUUAUACCUAUCUUUCUCCUGGGCAAUCACAUCUAGUCUUCUAUUGAUUUCUCCUAUCUUAAGAGCGAUGUCAUGACAUAGGUGGAUACGACGAAUAGGAAAACAAGGGAAAGGGAUACAGCUGCACACCUUCUUCUUAUGAGUGAGAGCAUUGUCAACUCCCUGAAUUUGGACUUUGAGAAUUGAUGAGCUCCAUUCAUCCAGCACGUUGUCCAUGUCAUAUGCCAAUCCUUUGAGAUCUUCUAGCCAAAUUUUUACAGCUUCAUCCUUAACUUGUCUCUUCUCUGCAUCCACAAGAACUACUCGGAUGUUCCUAAGUGUGUUGGUGAGCUUUUGGACGUCAUUUUCAGCACCCACAAGCAAUCUCAACUCUUGUUGAAUCUGCCGUUGGAUUACUAAAGCCAACCGCUCCAAGACAAUGGAAACAAGGGCAUCAGCCAUGUUGUGUGAUGAAUUGGGCAGAAUUGAGAAAUGAAUGAUGGACAUAAAAGUUGCAGCUCAUGUCCUCAUUUGUAGCUGCAAUCAUGUAGUUGAGUUCAUAGAAAAAUGGCCCAACCACCAAGUUGACUUCAAGAGGACGAGUCUUUUUCCUUUUUCUCAAAGUGUUUAUAAUAUGAGCAUUAGUUUAUUUCAUUUAUUUCUCAAUUUCAAUUUCAAUUUUUCUAAAUUUUAUUCUUAGAAGAUUCAUAUGGUUAUCGUGUUUGCUGAUAAUUGUUUUGUUUUAUUUUUUAAUUUUAGUUUCAUUUUUGUCUUUCUUCUUGGUGUGUGGCAAUGACAAUCUUGAAGAUAAUAUUUCCCUGGGUCAUGUUUGUAGCUCCUUUCUUUUGCUUCUAGUUUUUUUUCCAUUUUCUCUUUCUCAACUCAGGAACCAAACAUGACUUAAAUAUUCACCUUCAGAUUUGUUUUUACCCUCAUUGCUUGGGGAGGUUGGAGUCCUCAUUGUUUGUUUUAGUUUAGGUCUGUUAUGCAUCAUCCGAUUCCAUUAGAUGGUUGACAAUCAUUUAUUUGUUCAUAUAAUAUUAAUAACAUUGCUAAUACCAUUCAUAUUAAUAUUAAUAUUUGAUUGGCAGGAAAAUGGAUGACAACAACCCAACAAACAGGGUUUGCUUUCUUUGCCAACUCAGACCAGAUCAUCCUUAGCAGGUGAGUACUUAAAUAAAUACAUAAGCAAAAUAAUAAGUGGGUAACAUCUAUUCCCCUUAAUACUCUUUGUUGUUUUUUUUUCUUUUAAUUAAUAUAAGCACACUUAAUGUAAACAUCUAUUCCCCUAUUUGUCUUGAGACAAAUAAGAUCAAAAGAAGUUAAUAGGAAUCUAAAUAGUAAGAAAUGGAGCAAAAUUAUCGAUUAAAAAAAAUUCAUUAAUAAUCCCCCUUCAACAAUUGUGUGAUAAAAUACAAACAUUACAAUGAGGCUCCCAUGACUCUCAAAUGCAUUGCCAACCUACAUGUUUAAGGUAAAGAAAAAUGGAGCAGUUUGAAGGUGCAGUCUUUGCUGCAGCACCCGAAAAGGAGCUUGCCAUAUUUGGAGAAGAUGCAGUGAGUACAAUAAUAUUUUCCCUUUUUUAUUUGGAUGCUGAUUUCAUGGCCUUAAAUUUGAAUAGCUAGUUGGAAAGUUAAGAUCUGUACCUCGAGUUCAAUGGGGCUUGAAUGGGGUAAAAAUCAAAAAAGAAAAUGCUGCCAUGAAUGUAGAACAUAUGGUCAAAAUAUAGAAACUUGGAGGAAUUCAGUAUAAGGAAUGUGAAAAUUGAAUGAACCAUAGCUGAUUGUCAGUUUUUGUAGGACACAAAUAUACCAAGAAGAGGAAAUUGCAUCAUUAGGAUUCUUUAGCCCAUCCAUUCCAUUUGGCAUCUAGCAAAGACUACACUCCUGCUCCUACAUCGUCCACACUCCCUGCUAUUCUUGAGAAUGAAUUUUGAUUCUAAUUAGUAAUCGAAAUACAACAAAAUGGAUUUUCCAUUCUCAUUCCAUUCCAUGCUCCCACCUUCCAAAUACAACAAAUUUGUUCUUCCUUGUGGGACCUUGAAUUAUAUUGUCUUGUGAUAAACGGGCAAGUAAAAUAAAAAGCUUCGCUCAGCACUAGUUCAUAGAAGUGGGACAUAACAAAUUAGAGAGUAAGGUAAUAAAUUGCAUUGGUUUAAUUCUCAAACUAUAGGACACACAGACUCUAAAUAUCUUAGUUUGCAAUUCCUCCCAAUAUAUUUCAUAGGCCAAACAUUUUUCCUUUUUUUUUUUUAGGUAAACUUUUGCAUCGAGACUUGAAUCUGAAACCUCCCACAAACCCUAUACUAUUUGAGUCAAGCCUCAAGGGCAGGCCAAACUGCAGUAAUGACUAAGAUAGGAUUUCAGUUACAAGUCUAAGCUUACAAUUAAAUAGGGGUUUGUUCUUCUGCUCCUUCAUUGACAAACUUGUCAAUUACAUACUCAUAUCCAAUGCAAGUUGGUCUCAUUUAAAUAUAUAUGCCUAGCUUCAAUUUGGUCUCAAAAAUAAAAAUUGACCCCACUAUAAGAACAAGAGAGAAGGCUAAAACCAGCAUUGAUUUGAUGUAAAAGAAGACACCAUAGCCAACGAUUUUACAAAAUAUUGUGCAUACAAGCAAAGUUGACAUAACACCUUAUUGCGUUGAAAGUUAUUCCUCUCCCCUCCCCUGGUAGAUGAAUCAGUUUUAUUAGGUUAUUUUUCUUUGAAAAUGGUUUGUUACAAUUUCUGGUGUGUCAUCUUUAGGCUAAUGGUUCAUAAAAAAAGGUUGUAUAAGAUUUAUAACAUGAUAUAGUAUAAUGCAGCAACGAAAAUAAAGCCGUGAUAUCAAUCAACUAAGAAUAGAAUGAAAUAAUUUAGCCGUAAGACAAAUAAAAGAUCAUUUUGAACCAUCCAGAACCAAUAAUUUCAGAUACCAAGAAGUCCAAGAUAUACGGCAUCAAACCCACCUGAAAGACAAACCUCUCAUCCAUUCCCUGAACAGAAAGGAGACCUUUCAUCCGAUAUAUAUCUUCACUGCGUUCCAACAACAAUGUACCCAGCCAUAUGUUAGCCUGAAAAAAAAAAAAAAAAGGAACCAGCACAUCAGUCCAAUAUUAUCAAUAUGUUAUGUCCUGAGAUAAGUAAAAUCUGAAUUGGACAAAAUGCUCCUCGAAGGAGCUUCCAUAGAAAAGGAAUAAAUGAUUUCUCAUCAUUCACAAACUGACAUAGGUCAGGUCAAGGAUAUAAAAAAAUUGGAAUAUAAUUCUAGAUGCAGUUAUGAAGAAACUUGCAUAUAAACCGCCUGUAAAAACACUAACACCAACCUUCUCAAGGUCCAAGCUCCCUUCACAAACUAUGCUGACUGAAGAAACACCUGGGUCAUGAGUGUGAUCAUAGGAAUGGUGAUCAUUGUGUUCUGCAUGCCCAAUGUUGAAAACAUCAAUAUCACUCAUUACUAUCAUUACAAGUAUAAGAGCCAUAGAGAUUUGUUGAAUUAAGAACCCAACACUAGACCAGAUAUUCAGAAUUCUAUUUGUUCAUCCUUGUGGGACCUUGAAUUAUAUUGUCUUGUGAUAUUAAAUCGCAAGUAAAAUAAAAAGCUUCGCUCAGCACUAGUUCAUGGAUAUUAUAUCACAAAUGAAGAUUAAAAUGCAAUGGCAUCAAAAGUGAAACUUGAGUUGGGAGUUUCAUACCUUUUGUUUUAGCUGACAAGAUGUUUAGUUUUAACAUCAAAUGGAAAUUGACAAAUCAAUCACUCUACAGGAUUAGGAGCAAUGAAUUCAUCUGUCUAAUUUAUUUCUUACAUGAGCUCUGAAUAACUCCAAUAUUUUAUUUUGUUUACAAAGAAAUAUCCAUGAACUAGCCAGAAUAUGAGCAGAAAAUACAGUAAAUCUAUUUUCUCUCAGAGGUAACAUAUUUCUCAAAAUUAUAAUGCUUCAUUUGCAACCAAAAUAAUAAUAAUAAAUAAAAAAACAGCUAACAGAUGUCAAAAGUAAUUGUUGAUGUAAAAUGAAAUGACAAAUGCAAGACCUGCACCAGCUGGAAAUUACUAGUUUAUAGUAGGUGUGUAACUUGUAAUUGGAUAAAGAAACAUAGAAGUGGGACAGAACAAAUUAGAGAGUAAGGUAAUAAAUUUUGGUUGUUGUGCCAAACUGUAUAAAAGGCAUAAGCCUAAUGUGUAUUUUUAAAAAUAUUACUGUUGAGAGAGAGAGAGAGAGAAAGGAGAAAAACCUUAUUCACAUUCAUUGUAAUCUCUACUUACAAUUGAGAGAUAUAUAUAUACAAGGCUAGGAGUCCUAACUACCAUACAUGUGACCUAUAUUAACAAGGAAAGAUAGUAUACUAUACAUACAUUAUAUUCAACACUCCCCCUCAAGCUGGAGCAUAUACGUCAUAUGCACCAAGCUUGUUACAAAUAUAUUUAAUCCUAGGACCUCUGAGAGAUUUAGUGAAGAUGUCUGCUAGUUGAUCAUUUGAAUUGACAAAACUUGUAGCAACACAUCCUGAUGCGAUCUUCUCUCUAAUGAAAUGACAGUCAACUUCAAUAUGCUUGGUCCUUUCAUGAAAGACUGGAUUGGAUGCAAUAUGUAAUGCGGCCUGGUUAUCACAGAUGAGUUUCAUCUGUUCAUCCUUUCCAAAUCUCAACUCCUGAAGAAGAUGUCUCAACCAUAUGAGUUCACAUGUUGCCAAAGCCAUAGCUCGAUACUCGGCUUCAGCGCUAGAUCUGGCCACUACAUCUUGUUUCUUACUCUUCCAAGAUAUUAGAUUNNNNNNNNNNNNNNNNNNNNNNNNNNNNNNNNNNNNNNNNNNNNNNNNNNNNNNNNNNNNNNNNNNNNNNNNNNNNNNNNNNNNNNNNNNNNNNNNNNNNGGGCCUUAAGGCGAUCAACCUGACCAUCACGACCAACCUUAACUGCAUAGACCCAACGACAACCAACUGUAGAUUUACCAGAGGGUAAAACAACAAGAUCCCAAGUGCCAUUAGAGUGCAGAGCAGCCAUUUCAUCCACCAUUGCCUGUCGCCAGCCUGGAUGGGAAAGAGCUUCAUGGGUGCUCUUUGGAAGAGAAACAGAGGAUAUAGCAGAAACAAAAGCAGAAUAGGGUGAAGAUAAUCGAUGAUAACUCAAAAAAUUGUAAAUAGGAUGAGGAUUACGAGUAGAGCGAUUACCUUUCCGAACAGCAAUAGGUAAGUCAUUAGGAGAAGGCAGAGCCGGGGCAGGUGAAGCCAAAGGGAUAGGAAGUGAGUCAGCAGGUGCCUCAGGAAAAGGGAGAGGAGCAACGACACGAGGGCGACGAUGAUAAACCUGAAGUGGUCGAGGGGGCAUAGCAUCAGGUGGGGAGACAAUGGGAAUGGGCAAGACUUCAGAAACAGGAAGAGACUCAGAAGAGGUGGAAAAGAAUGGUGAGUUCUCAUAGAAGGUGACAUCAGCGGAGAUAAAGUACCGAUGAGUCUCAAGGGAAUAACAACAAUAACCCUUCUGAAGUCUGGAAUAUCCCAAGAAGAGGCACUUCAUGGCUUUGGCGAAAAGCUUGUCCUGUCCAGGAGUGAGAAUAUGAACAAAGCAAGUACAACCAAAGACACGAGGAGGAAGGAAAUAAAGUGGUUGGUCAGGGAAAAGAAGGGAGUGAGGAAUCUGAUCGUGUAAGACAGAGGAGGGCAUACGAUUAAUCAAAUAACAAGCGGUAAGAACAGCGUCCCCCCAAAAACGAAAAGGAACAUGAUUAUGGAGGAGGAGAGUACGAGCUGUCUCAACAAGAUGUCGAUUCUUGCGUUCAGCUACCCCAUUUUGUUGAGGAGUAUGAGCACAAGAAGACUGAUGAAGAAUCCCAUGAUGAGACAUAAACGAAGUAAAUUGGGCUGAAAAAUAUUCCCUGGCAUUGUCAUUGCGUAACACACGAAUAGAAAUAUUGAACUGGGUUUGGAUUUCAGUAUAAAAUUUCUGGAAAAUAGAGAAUAACUCAGCUCGAUUUUUCAUUAAGAAUAACCAAGUACAUCGAGAAUAGUCAUCAAUGAAAGUGACAAAAUACUGAAAUCCUAAAGUAGACGCAGUCCGACAAGGACCCCAAACAUCAGUGUGGACAAGCUCAAAAGGAGACUUUGCCCGAUUAUUCAAACGCUUUGGGAACGAGACACGAGUAUGUUUCCCAAGCUGACAUGACUCACACGGAAGCGACGACAAAGUGGAAAAACGAGGAACCAUCUUCUGGAACUUGGAGAGACUAGGGUGGCCCAGACGAUUGUGAAUGAGGAGAGGAGCAUCAGUGGAAAUGCAAACUGCAGGAGAUGAAUCUGAGGUGAGGUGAUAGAGGCCUUGAGACUCACGUCCUAUGCCAAUCGUCUUCCCCGUACUCCGGUCCUGCAAGGUCACAAAUUUAUCAGAAAAGGUAAUAGAGCAAUUAAGAGUACGAGUGAUUUUGCUGAUGGAAAUAAGAUUAAAAGGACAUUCAGGAGUAUAAAGGACAGAAGUGAGAGGUAGAGAAGGCAAAGGAAGGGCCAAACCAAUACCUUUAGCCACAGUUUGAGAACCAUUAGCUAAGGUAACAGUAGGUAAAUCAGAGGUAGUAGUAAUAGAGGAGAAAAGAUCCUUAUUACUAGAUAGGUGAUCAGAUGCUCCAGAAUCUAGAAUCCAGGGUCCAAGAGAAGAUGUAUGGGUAAGGCAGGCAGAGGCAUUACCAGGUUGGGCAACAGAGGCAAUAGAAGCCUGAGAUGUCUGAGAUACGGAGGAGCUCGGAGGCUGAGGCAGCGGAGAAUCAGAGGACUGGGCCAUAUGGGCAGUGCGAGGAGGUCUUCCAUGUAACUGAUAGCAACGAUCGCGAGUGUGGCCAAGUUUAUUGCAAUAGGUGCAAUGAGGACGUUGGCCUCUACCUCGGGUACCACUGCGUCCUCCUCGAGAGGUAGUUUGAGAAACUAACACAGAAGAAUCUGAAGCGCUAUCAGAUGGCAAAGUCUGAGUGGACGAGAUACGGAGGAGGCGAGCAAACACAUCAUCCAAGGACGGAACUGAUGAACUACCAAGAAUCUGAUCACGAAUAGGCUCAAGAUCCGGACGGAGGCCGAUAAGAGUAAGGACCAUGAAGAACUUGUCAAGCUGUGUUUGUUGAGCCCCAACAUCAGGAGUAAGAGGCAUCACAGUCAAGAACUGCUCCUUAAGAGAGGCAAUCUGGCCAAUAUAAGUAGAUAGAUCCAAGUCCUGUUGGCUAAGAUGGACAAUAACAGAAGCCACCUUAUAAAGACGCUGGAUAUCAUUCGUGUAUAAUCCUUUGGCCUGAGUCCAAAAUUUAAAACAAGUUUUAUAGGCCUGAAAAUGAAGAAGAAUUCGGGGAUCAACCGAUUGCCAUAAUACACUACACAACUGUGCAUCUAUCUUCCUCCACUGUACGCGGUCGACCUCAGGGAUAUCUGCCUCCUGUGUAAUCAAGUGAUCCUCAUAUCCUUGACCCAUAAACCAAAGUUCAACAGAGGCAGACCAGGAAAGAUAAUUUUCACUCCCAACUAAUUUCUCCGAAGUAAUCAUAGGAGAUCCAGAUAUGACAGAGGAAAAAAUGGAAGCUUUAGUAGUCAUAUCCACUUAUCUGGAGAAUGAAGUAUGUUUGGAUCGAAGAGAGCCCUAAUACGACUUUUGGAUUGCAGCGUGGCACCACCGAAAAAGGGAGACGGCCUCAGAUCGCGGUGUGGUACCACUAGAAAGGGAGAAGAACACUUCCCAAGGCACGUGCAGGGAUUGGAGUGGAGAAAAAGUGGUCGGAGCUUCGCCGGAAAGACUGUUUGGAGGGCCGACGGAGACAAAAAUCCCCAAAAGAGGUACGUGCAGGGCUCGGAUGGGAGAACCAGGGAGGUGGGAAGGCUGAUCGGCGUCAGGCGAAGCUGGAGGAGGAGGCGCGUCGCCAGAAAAGCUCUCACGCGCCCCCACGCGCCGGCGCGUGAGAUUCAACCGCCGGCCGGAAAAUUGCGCGUGGCCGGCGCGUGGCUGAUCUUUUGGUGCUGGUGCCUUCACAAAAGUUGGAGAUCUCCUCCAGGCGCUCCUUCUGGUAUGGUUGGUGUCGGAAAAAUAGUUCGCCGGGAAAUUUCGCCGGAAAGUUCGCCGGAAAAUUUGCCAGCGGUGAGUGGUUUCUAACGACGAUCCGACUGACCGGAAAGUAUUGGGAGAUGGGGAAGGUGACCGGAAAGAAACACGAUCACCGGAAGGUUUCCCGGAGUUGAUGACACGGAAAAUAGGAAAGAAUUAGGUUUUCUUCCUUGGCUCUGAUACCAUGUUGAGAGAGAGAGAGAGAGAAAGGAGAAAAACCUUAUUCACAUUCAUUGUAAUCUCUACUUACAAUUGAGAGAUAUAUAUAUACAAGGCUAGGAGUCCUAACUACCAUACAUGUGACCUAUAUUAACAAGGAAAGAUAGUAUACUAUACAUACAUUAUAUUCAACAAUUACAUAUCUUCAUCUUUGAGAAAUACAGGAAGCAUUUGUACAGGAAAUGGAGAGAGCAUCAAAACCAAGUAGAGAAAUAUCUUUACGAGGAUGCACACAUGUUGUUCCAUUGAAUACAAAUUUUUAUUAACUCAUCAUUUUGAUGUAGCAAGAUUGAUUAUUUUGAGGCAUUUGGGUGUGUUCCCUACCUGUGAAAACUAAUUCAUAUUUGUGUCUAUCUUAAGGUCAGAUGAGUGAUACUGCACAGUUAUAUUAACCAGAUCAUUCUAUUUUCUUUGUUUCUUGUUGGGGCAAUAGCAAAUCAUUAGCUUCAUUAGUAAUUAGAAAGUGAAGUGUUCAAACUCCCAAGAAGAACAGUACCCAACUUUGAGGUAAGAUCUCCACCAGAAUUAAACACAAUACCGAAUGGCAUGAUUUUUAAUCAUCUCCUUCUACAUAUAGAACAGCGGAGCCAUGUCACUCCCCUCACCCUCCAUUUGCAUGCAUAUGUCCUAACAAACAUGUUUUUUUUUUUUUUUUAGGUAUCCUAACAAACAUGUAUUAACUUUCAUAUAUAUUAUCCACAUGAUCUAUGUACACAUAAAAACAUAGAUCAUUAACAAUCAUUUGGUACAGAUCCUUUUUGAGAGUGGAUGUCAGGGUCAGGGGGAAAUGGAAGUAUUCCUCCAACUGCUAAUUAAUGAUUAUGCAGCAUUCAUGUUUCUAUAAAAGAGUGGCUAUUUUCUGAGGAGUUCGUCUUUUCAACCCUUUCGAGUUUGUGUGGGGAUAAAGCCCCUGGGCUUUGGCAAUAUUGUUGGGACUUAGUGAAAAGUGAGGUGAUGGGCUUUUCUUCAGAGUUCUAUAAGAUAGGCACUUUUGAAAGAAACUUAAAUGCCACUUUCAUGGCGUUAAUCCCAAAAAAGGGAGGUGCAAAGAUUUAAAAGAUUUCAAAUCAAUUAGUUUGGUAGGGGCUAUACAACUCUAGAAAAAGUUUUGGGUAAUAAACUAAAAAGGUAGUGAGAGAAAUAGUUUCAAAUUUUCAACAUGUGCUUGUAGAGGGUAGACAAAUUUUAAAUGUGAUCCUCAUAGCAAAUAAAGACAUUGACUCAAGGUUGAAAACCAUAGAGAGUGGGGUCAAAUGUAAGCUGGAUAUCAAAAAGGCUUAUGAUCAUAGCAAUCAAGGUUUCUACAAGCGAUCUUGGAAAAAAUGGGAUUUAAUCCUUAAUGAACAAGAUGGAUCAAGUGGUGCAUCUCCAUGGCUCGCUUUUUUGCAUUGAUUAAUGGAAUCCUUAUAAGAUUUUUCUAGAGUUCUAGUGUUUGAAACAAAGUAACCCUCUUUCCUCUUAUGAUUUCAUUAUGGCCAUGGAGGCACUAUUUUAUAUCGUGAAUUAAGGCAAAGGAAAGGGGCUUUAUAGCAAGGCUUUCAACUAGUGUCCCACCUAUUAUUUGUUUAUGAUACUCUUAUUCUAGUACCAAUAAGGAGUAUAUGGAGUACUUGAGCUAGGCAUUCAAGUGGUUUGAGGCAAAUUUUGGUUUAAAAAUUAAUUUGGAGAAACUUGAGUUGAUGCCAAUUAAGGGGUUACUAAUAUGGAGGACCUGGUUAGGGUUUUGGGUUGUAGAGCGGGUACUCUUCCAAAAAAUUAUUUGGGCCUUCCAUUGGGAACUCUUUCAAAUCUCCUCAAGUUUGGAAUGAAGUGGAGGAAAGAUUACAAAAACAACUCCCCAUGCAGAAGAGAUAGUACCUAUUGAAAGGAAGAAGAUAACUUUGAUAAAAAGCAUCCUAUCUAGCAUACCAAUUUACUACACUCCUUACUUUUCAUACCAAUAAAGGCAAUUCUAAGGCUGGGGCAUAUUCAAAGGGAUUUCCUUUAACGGGGAUGAGCACUUAAGAGAAAGCCACUUGCAGUUCGUGUAUUGAUCAACAUUCUGCAUAGAAAAGAAGGGUGAGGGCUUGAGUAUUAGAAGCUUGUCCAUUAAAAAGAAGAUUCUUCUUAGUACAUGGUGUUGGAGAUUCACAAUUGAAAGUGAAUCCCUUUGGAUGCUAGUGAUUACAAGAAAGCAUGGGGAGCAAAAGGGGGGAUGGUACAGUAAAAAGAGUGAAGGAAGGGAGGUUAUGGAAGACAAUCAAAAGUGAGUGGGAGGUGUUUAACAGUAAGAUUGUAUUUAGGGUGAGAAAUGAUUGAAGGGUAAAAUUUUAGAAGGAUAGGUGGUGUGGUGACAAAUCCUUAGGAGAGGCUUUUCCUGCAUUAUUUUCAAUAGUCACUGCUAAAGAUGCAUGAGUAGCCAAGGUAUGAGAGCAGAAUGUGGAGAAAGAUUGUUGGAACCCCAAGUUCACAAGACAUUCACAAUAAGGAGUUGGGUGAGGUGGAGGCUUUUUUUUUUAGAAGUACAAGCGCAAAUGACAUUGGGGAUAUAGAGAAUAAUAUGAUCUGGGAAAUUCACAAUUAAAUAUCUAUAUUCUUCCUUAUCAAAGGGCAUAACAGAGGCAUAAAGGUUUGCAAAAAUAUAACAGGAACAGGAAACCAUCAUUCACAUGCAUUAAAAGCAGUAAGAAAACUAUUAUAAAUCAUUAUUGCUACAAAACAACACGACUGAAAUCAAGAAGCCAAAACUGGAUGACAUGCAAGAACAAACAUCUUUUGCCUGUAUACUGAAAAAAUAUUUAGAGUUACCAUGUCCGUGGUCAUGUUCAUGAUGAUGAUGAUGAUGAUGGUAAUCAUGGUCAUGAUCAUGAUUGUGGCCGUGAGUCACAUGAUCUUCCUUUACAUCUUCUGGAUUGACAGCACUCUCAAUCCUAGCAAGGUUCCAACAGAUGUUUGCUUACAACCCCAAAUCACAAAAAGAUGCCCAAAAAGCCAGAAAGAUAGCAAAGUCUUCAUGAAGCCAAACAAUGAAGUACUCCAUCUGUCAAGAGCAUAGAACUGUUUCUUCUUUGUUGUUUCAUUGUCUCUUUUUCAUGGGCAGUAAAUCCUAAUGCAGAAGGUAAAUAAAGGAGGCCAUAAGUAGACACAGAAAAGAUAAACAAAACGAAAACAAGCACACAAACAAACAAACACUGACACCAGCAGAGGAACUAAAAUAAAACAGUAAAAUGUGAGGUCAAGCUGCUUCUGCACAGAACAGGCCAGAAAUAAAAACCUAAAAGGGAACUCUGUGGGCUACUGAUGAGGAUGAGAUCCAUAGCAAUAAGGAUUUGACUAGGCAAUCCUUCUGCUUUGGUAGACACAAGUGAGCCCAUUGGAUAUAGUUGUCCAAGAGAGACGUGUUUUUGUUCCUUUCAAGCUCCCACCCCUGCCCAACAGCUUUUACCUUCUAGAGAUCGGCACAAAACUAUUCUGAGGAACAGAGUAACUAGAGUCUGCAUCCAUCUGCCAAAUACAUUGUAGAUGAAAACGACGUUAACCAACCUCACUUCUCACCAUAAUGCACAAAUUUUAGAUGACAAGCAUCCCCUUUACCUUGCAGAAGGUUUGGUCAGCAUCAACUAUAAAAUCAAAGUGACAAGAUGAUGCAAUACCUUAACCCUAAUUUCUGGAUUUCACGGUUAAUUAAUUACUUUGGGUUAUGCUAAUAAUGAAGAAUGUGCGUACUAUGUAACUACGGGGCCAUAAAGAAGGGGUUAUUUCUACCCUGAAUUAUUCAACGUUAUCACAGAAAUUCUCUUAGAUCAAGGCUAAGAAUAAAUUCAAUAAAACUCAAGAGGUACUUUGGCAAAUCUGUAGGAAUGUAUAGAAAACCUAAAAUGAGCUUAAGCAAAAAUAGGGUCUUUAACCUCCUUAAAGACAAUUGUUCUGUGGAGAGAGAAAGAGAGAGAGGGAGAGACAGACAGACAGACAGAGAGAACGCUUUCAUAAAUCUGUUCAGAAAAAGAGAACUCUAUUUCCUUGAGCAUUCCCAAAGGAAUUUGAGACAUGGUAAGUAAACUAAUUCCUUCUUCAUAAUCCAGAGAUCUAGAGGUCUUGGGUGGAUGAAAGCAACCAUAGAAAAAGGUAGGAAACUCAUAUGUCUAAAACGUAAGAAAAUAAGUUGUAUUCAGUCCCUAGACAUAGGCCUCAAAUCAUUUAUUCAGUGUUAAUCCAUGUUAAUAAGACACCAAAAUCUUUAGAUAUAUAUGUGAGAUGAAAAUAACUUGAUUUUGAACACAUAGGACAAGAAAUCAGAUUCUUGGAAUUGUAAUUUGUUUGGUGAUCUAGAAUUUUGUCCAGUUCGAUUGAAUGGGAUGAUGACCUGAUAUCAAGGCAGAAUUUCAAUAGAUUGAACCAAUGCCUCGAUUAAUCGACAUGGAAAAAAUCCACCAUUACCAAAAUGAGUACCUGAGAUCAGAAAUUGUGAAAGCAUUUGUGAACUAAAUUAAUUGUGUCUAACUUUAAGGGAAGGGUCGCCCAGAGAUAAAAGAAAAGAGUCAACUACAGUGAAGGGUAAGGGGUUAUAGUAUAGCUUGUUAUUUUGGUAAGAACUUUUCUUUGAGAACCCUGUGAAGGAAAUCAUAUAGUUUAGCCCAUUUUAUUACAUAUGGACUUUUAAUAACGCUGAAAAUGUACAACAAGCUACUUCUUUGAGUAUGCAUUCUUGGUUUCUGAGAAAAUGUUUAUUUGAACAAAUAGUGUCAGAAUCACUUGAAUGUGCUGUGUGGAUUACUUGUUUCACUUUAAUGGGCGAGGGGAGAAAGGGGCAAGCUGCCGACCUUUACAUCUCUUAAUGGGGGUUACCAUACAUUGUGCCUAACCAAUAGGUGGUAAAUUAUUGACCUAAGGCACCAUGCCAUGAUCCGUUCAGGCACCAUUUGUUAUCAAACACUAAGCUAGCUACACUAUUUGGCCCUAGCCAACAAGAUGCUAUUUUCUUGGCCUUUUACAUCUGUUAGGACUCGAUGAAUUGUAGUUAAGACCUUUUUAUGGGUAUCUGUCUUAAAAACUCGAGAAUUUGAGAAAACAUGAUUUUUGGAAUUAUAUGAACUUUAAACUCAAUGAGAAUUUGUUAAAUUGCCAAAAUGCCUGUGACAUAUGCUUUGAAAAUCUUAUGUCUGGCUAACAGGUUCUACUUCUACAAAAGGGCAUGUCUUACUUUAGACACAAUUUUUUUUUUAUAGGUAAUCAAAAUCAAUUAAUAAAAAGUAACACCAGAGAAAGCGCUCCAAAGUACAUAGGAAGUAUACUAAAAAACACCUCAAAGUAACACAAAAACAUAAAAAAAACAUCAACAACAACCCCCUUAGCCCGAACCCAUACACUCCACAAAAUCUACAAAGGAAUGAGACCUAAGAACUAUGUGCAUCUUGCACCAAGCCCAAAGAUUACAAGCAAAUGAGGAUUUCAACCCUUGAAUUGACCAACCCUCACUAUCAAACAUCCUACUAUUUCUUUCAUUCCAAACAGUCCAAAAAAGGUAUAAAGGAGCAACCCACCACGUCUUCUUCCUUUUCUUUCCCACGAAAGAACCCUACCAUCCUAACAAUGCCUCUCUAACCGAUGAGAGGAGCACUCAUGCCACACCAAAAAGGGAGAACAAAAGAUGUCAUAAAACUCUUGUUUUAGCACAAUGAAGGAGAAUAUGAUUCACGGAUUCUUCCUCUUUAAGGCAAAGAAAACAUCUAUUCGCCAAAUACCACCCUCUCCUUUGAAUAUGAUCUAGAUUUAGAACCUUCCUCCAAGUAGCUUCCCAAGCAAAAAAGACCACCCUCGGUGGCACCCAUGAGAUCAAUCACCUUUGUUAGGAAAACGCUCUGUCUUCCUAGCUCCCACGCCCUGAAUAAGGAUUUGACAGAGAAAGUCCCAUCCUUGGACUCAGUCCACAUAAUAUCAUCCUCUUUGUCCUUGGACACCCUCCUCCCAUGCAAUCUCAGAAGGAAAUGCUCCAAGCUCUCCAUCUCCCAGUCAUCAAAAUGCCUAAAAAAGUAAGGAGCACAACACCCUCCCUCAGAAGAAUGACUCCAAACCAACUCUACCCACACCUCCUUGGAAGAAGCUACAACAAAUAAAGAAGGAAAAGAGAUGCACAAAGGCUCAUCACCAUACCACUUGUCCUUCCAAAACCUCACCUUUCUACUAUCCCCCACCAAAAAGGAAACUUUGUAGCUUAACACAUCCCCCUCCUUUUUAAUGGCUUUCCACAACCCUACCCCGUAUACUUCCCUCACCUAUUAGAUUAUUUUAGAGACACCAUCUUGAAUUGUUGUUUGCUCUACCCUAUUGGAUUAUUGUUUGUAACAUGGGUUGCGAGCCCACCCCUGAAAUUAUUUUGUAGUAAAGAGCAAUCGGGCAAGAAGUGAUAUGAUGAGGAGUUAGGGUUGGUCACUGAGCGGGCUUCUAUGAUAGGACUUGGGAGCUGCUCAUAAAAAGGAUUUGUGCUACCCAUAAUUUUGAUUUUGGGAUGUCUAUAUUAGUAAUUGGAUUCUAGAACUUUCAGAGGUGGACUUAUGAUAUUAGUUGUUGAUGUUAAUUCUGAACUCUCAACUAUCUUGUUUAUCCAUGAAAUGAAUAAUAAAUAGCAUAAAAUAAAAGGUGUGUCGUCCUUGCAAAAAUGCCUUGGGUAUCAAGUGACACUUGCUUAUAAGCACCUUGCUUGAGGCAACACAAAGCAUUUCACACACACCUCCCUGUACCCUGGGCUUUUUUUGCUCCUAGACUUUCUUUUAACAACUACAGAUUUCAUGCAUUACUAAAGGAGGAAAUCAAAUGGAAGCACAAAAGCGUAUUAAGAAAAAUGAAACACAAAGAAAUGGAAAAAAAAAAAAGGGGAGAGGGGGAGGAGGAGAAGGAGGAGGAGGAGGAGGAGAACAAACUAAAGCUAUCAAUGUAAAACAACUAAGCAUAUCACCAGUAGCAUGUAAAUAGAUAACGCACAAAUCAAAGAUAAAUUUUUUUAUCAGAAGUGGCUAGAAAUGAAAAUACACUAAAUCAACCGCAACCUAAUAAAUAAGUUAGCUUAUAGACAAUGGAAAUGUUUACGCCCUACAACAAAGGGAAGAUAGAGAAAUAACCUCUCCAAAUCAAAGCCUCCUACUCCAAGUACAUAAUCCAAGUCAACUUUUCCAAACCCUGUCCGCUUGAGAUAAGCCAUACGAUUUAUAUUCUACUUUCAGCAAAAGUACCACACCACAGUUCAACACAUCCAAAAUGAAACAGUAAGAAAAAUGAAAUCCAUCCAAACAAGAUUCAUGAGUAUAAUACCCGGAGAAAUCCAACACAUUCAGUUAGUCAAAAUGCUACAUAUCUAUAAAGGAAAAGCAUUGACAACUCUAUCAUAUGCCUUAAGACUUUGGUGAUAUUUUCUGGCCUAUCAAAAAAAUAAAAAACAUAUGCCUUAAGACUUCAUGAUGUAGAACACGAAGUAUAAGGAAUAAAGUCAAAUUGGGUGGGUUCUUGGUGAAGGAAAGGGUGGUUGUUUUUGGUUGUUCUCUCCCUUUAAAGUUGUGCCUUUUGGCACCCUUUCUAUACAUCUUGUAUAUCUUGGUGUAUAGCAUCGUCAUUUGAUAUUUAUACUAUUUACCUUUUCACUUAUUAAAAAAAUGGAUAGAAAAAAGUUUAGUUGUCUUAAAAUUAUCGUCGUGGUUUUAUAUCAUACAAAGAUUAUGCAAGGCAUUAUGAUUGUAAAGGAAGGAAAUCCCUUUCAUCGCACCAAACAUAGAGAUAACAUGGAGCAAAAUGGAUAGGAAGAGAGAUUAGCAUCUGCAGUUGGGGAUUGAUGGUGUUCUAAGGGAUCAUAAUGGCUAAGAGGUUAAAGCCUUCUUUAGACCUACAACAAUGAGGUUAGCCAUAAAAGAACAAACCCUUGCAUUGUUGAAAAGCUUGCUUCAAGCAAGAUCUAUAUGCUGAACUACUGCCAUCAAAGAAGGGUGUCAUGCCAACCCAAGCAGAGUAGACCCAUAACAAACAUGAUCAACAACCGCCCUAGAUGCCCUUAGACUUCAUUCUUCAAGUAAAUUCAUGAUUACUAAUAACUUGAUUGAAGGUGAUUCAUCAAUUCUUAUAAUGUGGGCAUCACACAGAAAUAGAGAUCCAUGUGAGUUCAAUGGUUGGUUCUGCAAAAUUAUCAAUGUCAAUACUAGUUUGAAUAGCUAUUUUUCUAGGAUCUCAUUUGGCUAAUUAGUUGCGAAUCAAUUGGUCAAAUAAGGACAAAGACAAUUAGAGUUCUUUGAAGAGGAUGUUAUGCCACCACGAGGUGUAUGCUCUUUAGCUUUUAUAACAGUUGCUUCUUUUUUGCUUUUAUAAUCCUUCUUUAGCUUCUUGAAGGAACCCUCAUCCUCCUUUUACUUUCAAAUUCGUAAUGAAUUACCAUUUGAAUAGUUGUUGCUGACUAAUAAAAAAAGGAUUAUAGGAUUGGGCAAGUUUGGAGAAUUAUUUAAGAGGAAACCCGAUUAACAAGAGAAAUGUAUUGUUUAUGAAGCUUAAGAAGAUAAUUGAGAAGCUCUCAUAAAAUAAAAAACCGAAGAGAAUUGAGAAGCAACACAAUUUCAAAAUUAGCACAUGGAAUGAAAUGCACGAAGACAAAUAUGAUGAUGCAAUUCUAGGCGCUAGAUCAUAUGAUGGAGUUAUAAGAAUUUCCAUUCAUACAAAUAAAGAGGCAUGAAAGCAGUGGAGCAAACCUCUAAGUUUGAUUAUCUUUUUAUAUAGUUUGGUUUAAUGAAGUAAUGAAUAAAUGGCAUCUUACUACCAACGGGUCCCAAUCCAACCAUUUGAGAUGAAAUGGGGUGGUUCAUGUCAACCUAGAAGAUACUUGAGAAUAUGCAUUGAUGGCAAAAAACAAAAAAUAAAGGGUUUGAAGUUCAGUGAAAGAAAGCCAUAUCUGGAAACCUAAAUGAUGAGUCAGAGACUAAUAAAAGUGUUGUUCAGUGAAAACAAAAUCAAUUGGGGACUGUCAUCAGUGACAUGAAUAUUGAUGUUGAUUAGGAGUGGAAAAUGGAAGGAAAUAACAAGCUUGGAAUGUCAAACAACACUACUUCAAGUUCCUUACAACAAAGUAGCAAAUUAUAGAUUUGAUCAUUUGCUUGUGCAAAAAAGGAAGACACUACUUACCCAUGUCCACAACAAAGGGAGACAUAAAUACAAUUUUUAAGAUGAAGAUAAGGAACAAUGACGGGCCAACGUAAUGAAUAUCAUAAUGAAUAGGACAAAACGAUAUUCUUCCAGUGCAAGGGGAAUCAUUGGCUUUGCAAUGAGCAACGAAAUACUGAAGGUUUAGGAAAGUUAGAGAAGACAAUUCUUUUUGUGCUGGAGUCUUUUGUCAUAGUAAGAUGUGUAAUAUUAUUCUUGAUGUCAGUAGCAGCCAGAACACUGUUUCAGUGAAGGUUGUUAAAAAGUUGAGGUUAUCCAUUUAAAAGCAUCCUAAUCUUUAUAAGGUUGCAUAAUUUCAAAAUGGAAAUAAAGCACCCUACUUCUUUUCAUCCGGUUACAUUUACUAGGUGAUAAUAUAGAUUUAUUUUUAUUAUUUUUAUUUUAUAGGCAAAAGAGCAAUAGGUAUAUUAAAGACCCAAAAAAGGCUACACCAAGUACACAGGAAAUAUACAUGUGAAUACCAAAUAAAAAAACACAAAAACCCUCCUCUUAUUGAUAAAAUCAAUCGUAGAGAAUGACUCUUGCCCUAAACCCCCUUUGGUCCAUUCUAAAAAGUUACAUAGAAAAUAGAAUUUUAGCUCUAGAUCUAAAAACUCAUUAUCAAAAACCCUUCCAUUUCACUCUUUCCAAAUAAUCCAAAACAAAUAAAGAGGAGCAACAUUCCACGCCUUAUUUCUCCUCUUCCUAAUGGAUCCAGCUAUGCUAACUAAGUAGCAUUGCUUGGAUUGAGGUAUGCAACACCUAAACCAUUCCAAACAAGGAGAUGACCAAUUGCUAUCACAAAUUUGCCUUAGAACAAUGAAGAAUGAUGUGAUUGCAAGAUUUCUCCUCGCCUUUGCAUAGAAAACAUCUGUUCACCAAAGUCCAACUUCUCUUCUUCGAGUUGUCCUUAGUUAGAAUCCCUUUCCAAGUUGCUUCCCUAAAAAUAAUCACUUUUAUUAGAGCCCAAGAAUUCCAAAUAAGCCUUGCAUAGAAACAAUCUAAACCCCUUUAAACCAUCUUAUCAUAGAAAGAUUUAACUGAAAACUAGCCUCCCUUAGUAGUCAUAUACACCACUUUCUCAUCCACCUCCCUACUCACUGAUUUACCAUGCAAACACAGAAGGAGUGCUUCAACACAACCUAACUCCCAAUCUUGGAAAUUUCUUACAAAAUGGGGGUUCCAACACCCCUAAAUUUAGUUUGUUCUUAAUCAUCACAUACCCAAGCCUCCUUUGAAGUGGCUAUAGUGAACAAAAAGGGGAAAGAGGUCCUCAAAUGGUGUCCCCACACCAAAUGUCCUUCCAAAAUCUUACCAUUCUUCUAUUGCCCAAAACAUAGGAAAUCUUACUUUUGAAAACAUCUCAUCAUUUCCUUAUAGCCUUCCUCAAUCCUACGCAAAGUUGUGAAAGGCGCACCUAGGCUCCAAACGGUGCGACGUGACCCUCCGGUUGUAUCACCUAAAGGCAGGCAACACCCUCUUCAUGAAAGCACCGCUUAGGCGCACAGGGUGCUCGCCUCCGGCAAGGCACGACGCGGUCCACUAUCUCUUUCUUCUUCUUCUUCUUUUUCUUUGAUUUUCUUCUCUGACGACGAGUUGUAGAUGGUAGAAGAGAAGCCCUUUUUUUUUAGACCAAAAUGACGUUGUUUGGUCUGUUCUUUUAAAAGAAUAAGGUCCAAAAUGACGUUGUUUUGGUCCUUGUUGUCUUAAAAAAAAAAAAAAAAACCAAAACGGCAUCGCUUUGGCUCCUUUUAUUUUAAAAAGAACAGGCCAAAACAAUGAUGUUUUGGAGCCUAUUAUUUUAAAAUAAAAAAAAAAUUAAAAACAGGCCAAAACGACGUUGUUUUGGCCUUGUUUUUUCAUUCCAACCCCCUUUUCUGGUUGUUUUCAACCCAACAACACCCUUAAAAUUUGCCUUAGCCUCUACUGUGCUAUGAAUAAGUGAAGAAGACGAAGAAGAUGAGGAAAAAUAGAGGAAAAUAUGAGAAAAUGAGGAAAAAUAAAUGUACCGUUCCAAGACCUUGGUAUUUUUCUCUUUUCUUCACUUUUCUGUAUUUUUUUUUCCGUUCUUGUAUCAUAACUCUCAUUGACAUUUCUUUUUUUAAAUAAAUAUUUUAUUUUGACAUGAAAAGUUUACUAAAUAAAAAUAAACAAAUAAAAAACACUUUCAUGUGUUUAUUUUUUGUUAAUAUGAUAUGCAUAUUUAUUUUUUUUUAUUUUUCAAUUUUUUAUUUUCUUAAUUUAAUUAUAAUUAUUUUAUUAUAGUAUAGAUAAUUUGUUUGCAAGAUGGAUAAUGAGAGUAAAACUCAAUUGGACUCUAGUGCAAGUGGAAGAAGAGAUUUCGGAUGGAAGUAUGCUCGUUUGCUUAAUGAAAAAGAUUUGAACACCAUCAUAUUCAUUUUUUGUGAUAAAGUAACCAAAUGAGGCAUAUAUAGACACAAACAACAUCAUGUUGGUGGAUAUAGAAAUGGUAAAAAGUGUAGAAAAUGUUCGAAACAUGUUAGAGAAUAAAUGGAAGGGGAAAUGAAUACGGGGAGCGAAAAUGUUAAUGAAGAUUUGUUUGGCUAGGAAGAUGAAGACUUUGGUGAGGAGAUUAGUAGUAGAAUGUGAUUAUUGGUGCACAAGAAGCAGGUAAUUACUAAUUUUUGAAUUGUUAUAUUGUUUGAGACUUUUAGUAAGUAUAGUCUUUUGUCACAUGUUUUAAAUAUUUGUUAUAUAUGAAUUGCAAGAAUGGGAAUUGAACCUCCAUCUCCAUAUGAAAUAAAGAACAAGUACUUGGAAAUGGACUACAAAGAAACGGAAGCCUAUGUGAACCAACAAAAAGAAAAAUGGAAGACAUAUGGGUGCACAAUAAUGUUAGAUGGGUGGACAAGGCCCAUGAAAUCAAGUAUUAUUAAUUUCAUGGUUUAUUCAAAAGGGACCACGGUGUUCCUUAAGUCAGUUGAUGCAUCGAACAAUAUCAAAGACCACAAGUAUAUAUAUGAGCUAUUGAAGACUGUUAUUAAAGAAGUCGGUCAAGAAAAUGUGGUCCAAAUUGUCACAGAUAACGGGUCGGCGUUUGUGAAAGCAGGGAAACUAUUGAUGAAGAAGUUUAACUUAUAUUGGACUCCGUGUGCGGCAUACUGCAUCAACUUAAUCUUUGAAGACAUUGGUAAAAGACCCAGUGUUACAAAUAUGAUAAACAAUGCUCACAAGAUAACUAACUUCAUUUACAACCAUAGUUGGUUACUUGCACAAAUGAGAAAGUAUUGUGGUGGAGACAUUGUUCGACAAAGAGCUACAAGGUUUGCUACCAAUUAUAUUGCUCUUGAUAAUCUUCUUAAAAAAAUGGUUGAUUUGAAAAAAUUGUUUAUAAGUGAUGAAUGGGCACAACACAAGCUCAAUCAGACAAAAAUUGGACGAAAUUUAGAGCAAUUAUUGUUUGACCAUGCGUAUUGGGACAGAGUGGCAAAUAUAGUUUCAUUAUAUGAGCCAUUAUACGUGGUGCUUCGACUUAUGGAUUCUGAAGUUGUUACCAUAAUGUUGUUUGUGUACGAGCUUAUGCAAGUGAUGAAAGAGAACCUUAUUCGUCAAGGAGCUAGAGAUUGGAUUUUCAAAAUAAUAAAAGAUCAUUGGGAGAAAAUACUAAAACAUCCACUUCAUGUAGCAGGUACUUAAGUACUAUCUAUCUUUAUAAGUUUUUACUCUGUAUUUAAUUUUCUUUAACAAAAUACUAAAUCUAAUUAAUUUUAUUGUAGCAUACUUCUUGAAUCCAAUAUUUCAAUAUAGACGUGGAGUUGGUAGUGAUCCAAAACUACUUCAAGCGGUUUAUGACGUUUUUGCAAAAUUAAACCCAACUACCGAAUCUCUUGGUCAAUGUGGAAAUGAGGUAAAUAGAAAACUGUUAUUUUUGUCAAUAAAACAAUAAUUUCAUUCACCAAUUUAUUUGAACGUUUACUAACAAAUAUGAUAUUAACAAAUUAAAUGUUGAAUAUAUAACUUGUGCUUUUUUGAGAUGCAAAAACAAGAUUCGGUAGUCCAGCGACAAUUGUAGCAAGGUCAACCAUGGUGCCCAUUGAGUAUUUAUAGGAAAAAUUGAUUAUCAUUAUUGCAAAUUCACCACAUAAGUAUUUAUAUAAUUAUGAAAUUGGUUGCAACUAAAUGGUGGUUCAUGUAUGGGAAUUAAAUACCUACAUUGAGAAAGUUAGUCAUCAAAGUUCUCUCACAAACUAUGUCAUCUUCUACUUGUGAGAAAAAUUGGAGCAUGUUUGCUCUCAUCCACACAAAGCAACGAAAUCAUUUGGCUUACCCUCGACUGGAGCAAUUAGUUUUUUGUUACUAUAAUAUGAGGCUAAAGUUACGCGAUAUGGAGGCAGAAAAUGAUCGAGUUGCUAAAAAAUAUUACUUUGAUCUUCUUGACAUUUCAACCAAGGUGGGUGAAGAAUAAGAUAAUUAGUUGUUCCAAUGGGUUAGGCCUAUAACACUUGGAUGAUGAUGUUGGAAAUCUUGAUCCACGAAUUGCCUCUCAUGCUCGAGAAUUUAAAGUUAAUGUUGAAUGUGUGUUAUCCAAAGAAGUUCACUUUGAAAGUUUUAGCAAAAAUACUGAGGAUUCAUUUUAGGCGGCAUUGAAUUCCCAUUAAGAGGUUGACUCCACAAGUGUUGGCCAUAAUAGUAGACCUAGUGUUGCAGGUACUUCUGCUUUUAGUUACGAUGGUUCAAGAGGUGGAACUGAUGAUUGAGGUGAUAAUGCGGGAGGAGAUAUCUAGGAAAGUCAACAAAGUCAAUAUCCAAUGAGUCAAUUUACCUAUGAAAAUGAUUUCACAUACUGCACACAUGAUGAAGACCAUGGCUCUAGAAGAGUUGGUCUAGGCAUAGGAGCUAUUAGGAAGCCCUAUAGAGGAAGAGAACGAAUAAUGGAACCAUAUAACUAGGAGUUACUUUCAAGGAGUUUUGAAUCUAUGAGUGUAGGGACUUAAUUUAGUGACUCCUCAAAUGAGGCUAACGUCUACCCUCCUCAUGUGAUGAGUUAUGGUCAACCUUCAAGUUCAACCGAUGAAGAGUAUGGUAUGUUGAGUUACUCCCCUUCCGCACAAAUGUCAUACCAAGUUUCAUAUUAUAUGGAAGGAGGAUUUGACAUUAACACAUGGAUGAACCUUGAGUAUCCUAUCCAUGUAAAGGCAGUGGGCAUGACUCAAUAGAUAUAUGCAUGGCAUGUUAGAAUUUUUAACCAAUAUUAUCAAGGCUCAUUGAGUUGGUACCAAUAUUGUCUCAAACAGCAAGACGAGGUUUCUUCAUCUACCAAUUCCAUUGAACCAUAUCGAUCCUCAUUUUGGUACUAAAGGGACAUUACAAUGUAAUGUGUACAAAUUAUUGAUAUUUAAUGAAAUGAAGUAUUUUAUGUAACUUUAUAAUGAGUGUACAAUUACAAAAUUAACAUUUCUUGUAGAUCGACAUAUAUAAUUACAUCUAAUAUCGCAAAUUAUAUCAUACAUAUAUCAAAUUCUUCAAUAAAACAACUUUAAAAUGUCUAUUAUACUUCUAAUUACAUUGUUAUGAGGUUUUUCUUGUAUUUCCAUGAGUUUUUAACAAUUUUAGGUCUACCGAAAGGCUUUUCCCAAAAUAUUUGCUGAUAUAUUCGUAAAAUCGAAGUAUCGAUAUAUCCGUGACUAUCGAUAUUUUUAUCCUUGAACCACACACACGAGUGGAAAUAAAGAAAAGACGAUAUUUUUAAUGUUAUUCAGUGAUCAAUGUGAUUCUUAUAUAUACAAAGUGUACUAACACUUAAGAAUACAAUAAUCAAAUACAAUAGGAGCAAACUCGUCAUUCAAAAAAAAGAAAAAAAAAAGGAAUCCAAGGGGUGUUGCCCCCUUAAAAUAAACAAAAAAAUGUUAUUAUCUUAACCUAUCUUAAAAAAAAUGGUGAGAACUUGUAUAGAAGUACAAAUUUACAUAAUUUUUAAUUCAUUUAGGAUUCAGGAAAAAGAAAUAUAAAAUAAAUUACUAUAUACUUCCAAUUAAAGCUCUAUAAAUCACUCUAAGUUCCAAAUAUGGACAGAUAUCCAAGUUUGAUUAACUACCUAUUAUGUAAAGAAAAAAGUAAAGUAGGACAACAAAAAAUGCUCUGAACUUCUUAAUAAUGGAAGUCCAGAACUGAAUUGUGAGAUGUAAGAGUUUAGGUAUCAACAAACUCAUUUUCUUUAUAUUACUAAUCAUUUUGUUCUUCUACCUCUUUUUCCUUAUUUCAUAUAUAUAUAGUUUAUACGCAAAUGUUCUUUGUAAAUUAUAGGGGGGAUGGAAAAUGCUAGAGAAGGGAAAAGAGUGGUAAAUUAUUUUUUUUUCUCUUGACAUGUGAAUUACUAUUUUUAAAUUAGUAGCAUUUCUUAUUAAUUUGAUGGACUGUGUUUUGCUUAACUGUUGCACUAAUAAGUUGCUCCUUACUUGUGAAAAGUGAAUUGUACAUAUUUAAUAAGAACAAUGAAUUAUUUUAUUAAAUUUAUCAACCAUGGUGAAUGGAGACUUGGAACCAAUUACUAAUUAGUCUCAUUGUAAGGAGCCAUAAGUAAUUAAAUUAAGGCUAUAUCAAAGCUGAAUAUUCACUUGAAGAUAAAUAUAUGUGUAUGUUUUGAAGAAGGUUUUGUUGCCUUCUAAUGGCGAACCAAAUAACUCUGGUUAUGUUGCUCCAAUGUCACAAUCACAUACAGUAUCAAAAACAGAGUUCUUUAGCUGACUAUUCAGAAGUAAUGAAAACUUUUUCAAAAUAUAUAUAUAUUGAUAUAUAUAGUGUUGUUUGUUGAUACAUUAGCGUGAUUUUUUUAAUAUUUUAUUUUUAUUAAAUAUUAAAAGAUAAAAAAUUAAUAUAUUUCUUUUUUAAAAAUUAAAUAUUUUAAUUUUUUCAUUCAAUAAAAAAUUUAUAAUAAAUCAUAAAAAAAAUUAAAAAAUAAACCACCUAAAUAUAGAGACAGGAUUGUUGAAGGAAAGGUUGAAAAAAAUAGUUAUACCUUUGACUUUUUGGUGUCUCACUUCUCAUAAUUAUGGUGGCUACUUUAUAAGAAUAAACUGAUUGGUAGAUAGAUGAAAUAGUUACAUAAUAUUUAAAAUAUUUACAUAAUAUUCCAAAAUAAGGCAAAAAAACUGAGGUCAGUGGGGCAUGUGACAUGUCAUCGGUAGAGCCGCGUCAAAAAUUUAAUAUAGAAGGAAAAUUUAAGUAUGGUGCCCCACCACCGUCCUACAAAAGUAUAGACCAUAAUUAAAGUAUUGAACUCACUAAACCUGCAGAUCGUACCUCUUCAUCUCACUCGCCUUUAUUCAUCCUCCAUUCCUCUUCAUUCAUCAAUCCCACCUUCUUCACCCUCCCCAUGGCUGAUACCCUCGUUUCUAUUGUGCUGGAACGCUUAACUUCGGUUGUUGAACAGCAGAUUCAUGAACAAGUUUCUCUGGUUCCGGGUGUUGAAUCAGAAAUUCGAAGUCUCAAAAGCACACUCCGCUCCGUCCGAGAUGUUCUUGAAGAUGCCGAGAGGAGAAAAGUGAAGGAAAAAUCUGUCCAAGGUUGGUUGGAGAGGCUCAAAGACAUGGCCUACGAAAUGAUGGACGUGCUGGAUGAGUGGAGCAUUGCUAUUUUUCAAUUCCAGAUGGAGGGAGUUGAAAAUGCUUCCACGUCUAAGACGAAGGUAAGCUUCUGUAUGCCCUCCCCCUUCAUCCGUUUCAAGCAAGUUGCAAGUGAACGGACCGAUUUUAAUUUUGUCUCUAGUAGGAGUGAGGAGCGACCACAGCGACUUAUAACUACCUCUGCAAUUGAUAUUUCAGAGGUGUACGGUCGGGAUAUGGAUGAAAAAAUCAUAUUAGACCAUUUGUUGGGUAAGAUGCGUCAAGGGAAAUCUGGCCUCUACAUCGUGUCCAUAUUUGGGACGGGAGGCAUGGGCAAAACAACUCUUGCUCGACUAGCCUACAACCACCGAAAGGUGAAGACCCAUUUUGAUGAAAGAAUAUGGGUCUGUGUCUCUGAUCCUUUUGAGCCAGCCAGAAUUUUUAGGGAUAUUGUUGAAAUCAUCCAGAAAGCGUCUCCUAAUCUCCACAAUUUGGAAGCUUUACAACAAAAAGUUCAAACGUGUGUCUCUGGAAAGACGUUCCUUCUUGUGCUAGAUGAUGUGUGGACUGAAGACAAUCAAUUGUGGGAACAACUGAAGAACACCCUCCACUGCGGAGCAGCAGGGAGUAGAAUUCUGGCGACCACACGCAAAGAGAGUGUUGUUAAGAUGAUGAGAACUACGUACAAGCAUCCCUUGGGGGAGCUGUCUUUGGAGCAAUCUCGGGCAUUAUUCCAUCAAAUAGCUUUUUCUGAAAGGGAGAAAGAGGAAGAAUUAAAAGAAAUUGGUGAGAAAAUAGCAGACAAAUGCAAGGGCUUGCCCCUCGCUAUAAAAACUUUAGGGAACCUCUUGCGCAUAAAAAAUAGCGAGGAAGAAUGGAAGUACGUAUUGAAUAGUGAAGUAUGGCAGCUAGAUGAGUUUGAGAGAGAUAUUUCCCCUGCUUUGUUGUUGAGUUAUUAUGAUCUGCCCCCUGCAAUUCAACGCUGCUUCUCAUUUUGUGCUGUUUUUCCAAAAGCCUCUGUUAUUGAGAGAGAUGAGCUGAUCAAGUUGUGGAUGGCACAAAGCUAUCUCAAAUCUGAUGGGAGUAAAGAGAUGGAGAUGAUUGGGAGAACGUACUUUGAAUAUUUAGCUGCUCGGUCUUUCUUCCAAGAUUUUGAAAAAGAUACUGAUGGUAAUAUAAUACGUUGUAAGAUGCAUGAUAUAGUGCAUGAUUUUGCUCAAUUUUUGACUCAGAAUGAAUGCUUUAUUGUGGAGGUUGACAACCAACAAAUGGAGAGCAUAGAUUUAUCCUUCAAAAAGAUUCGUCAUAUCACCUUAGUUGUCCGAGAGAGUACCCCUAAUUUUGUCUCCACUUAUAACAUGAAGAAUCUACACACCCUCUUGGCUAAGGAAGCAUUCAAGUCAAGUGUUCUUGUAGCCUUACCUAAUUUGUUAAGGCAUUUGACAUGUCUCAGGGCAUUGGAUUUGAGCAGCAAUCAGUUGAUUGAGGAACUUCCUAAGGAGGUAGGAAAAUUGAUACAUUUAAGAUUCCUUAAUCUAUCAGGGUGUUUUUGGUUGAGAGAGUUGCCUGAAACAAUUUGUGAUUUAUAUAAUUUGCAAACCUUAAAUAUUCAAGGAUGUUCCAGUCUUCGGAAACUACCACAGGCAAUGGGUAAACUAAUUAAUUUGAGGCAUCUUGAAAAUUCUUUUCUUAAUAAUAAGGGCUUGCCAAAAGGAAUUGGAAGAUUAAGCUCUCUUCAAACGCU
This 49878-nucleotide long non-coding RNA is filed under the name Vitis vinifera (wine grape). RNAcentral's name for it is "long non-coding RNA (VVIN_LNC002844)". Lineage: Eukaryota; Viridiplantae; Streptophyta; Magnoliopsida; Vitales; Vitaceae. The record is from RNAcentral.